GAUGAAGGGGUGCAAGCUGGGCCACAUACCCAUACCUAUCACCUAAGCCUAACAUCUAAAGCCGGAGGCCCCGACCGAGCCAUCUGCCGGGUCCGGGGCUCAAACCGGUCUGACGCACUCACAUGUGUCGUCGCCGCCUCUUACACUCAUCCAUCUUCAGAGCAGAUUGAGGUGACAACCUUGGCAGGUCCUCCGCCAUCAAUGCCACCACGACACCAAAAGACGACCUCCACCUACGCGAGCCUUGGCAGGUCGUCUGCCAUUGACACCACCACGACGCCAGCCGACGACCUCCACCUACGCGACUCCAUAACAGAAAUCCAUGCUAGGAAAGGGUCACACCACCGCUGUCACCCACCACCCACAAGCGCCACCCAACCCUAAGGUUUCCAAAGCGGCGCCUUCUAGAAGGGAACGGCGUCGUGAGCGCCGCCGCCGCCCAAUAGAGUUAGGGCUUUCACCCGGGAAACCUAGGGAAAGGUGAAGUGAGAAAAUCAGUCCAUACCGACGCCUCCAAGGAAGGAAACGACACCCUCAGGCGUCACCGUCGGCGCGGCCGGUCAUGGCCGGCCAGGGAUUUCGCCCGAGCUAGAUCUCCGUCACCAGCAGCACCUCCUGUACAGAACCGGCAACCAAGAGGAAGCGCGGCCCGACCAGGCUGGCCCGCACGACGAACAGGGAAGGAAGGGACGCGUCAGAUCGCGCACACCGACCGCCGCAGAAACAGCCGCCGGCCGCCAACGACCACCGGAUCCCGCUGCCCGCGCAGCCGGGACGCCGGAUCCACCACCCGCACGACUGUUAGCGGGCCGUGCCUUGCCAAUGGAGUCGCCGCUCCAGAUCUGGGGUUCCCCACACAGGAGCAGGACAACCAAGGCCCCGCCGCCAUCAUCCUUGGCGCCCCGGGCUUGCCCGACGGCUGCCUCAGGCAGCGGCGAGGGAGAGAGGAGGGGAGGGGGUGAGGAGGAGAAGCGUCUAGGGUUGGAAGGAGGAGGCGGCUAACACCAUGCAUGUCCGCCGUUUGCAUGCGACGAGACCAUGGCACAGUUGAAGCACCGAUGGACUGGCCUCCAGAUGAUAAUACAGUGAUAGCAAGCCAUGUGAUUGAGCUUCCGCCAUCUCAUGGGUCAUCUCGAUCGGAAGUGUGGACAGCCGUGCAUCUGGAAUGUCUCACCUUUGAUUAGUUGGUCGUGCAUGUGUGCCUGGAGUACGUACGUAGCCCCUCGAGUCUCCAUGCAUGCACGCGUCCAGCGAAGCAGGCCCACCCUGUCAGAGUUGUAGAAGCAGAACGGAGUCAGGUCUUCCAAGAUCACGGCGGGACGUAAAAAGGGCUACGCAUGCAACUCAACUGCCGAUGAGACAGAAGCAGCGUGAAGCCCGGCCGGCGUCGCCGUGCUUGUGGUGGUGGCGGUGGCAUGGCGGCCUCCUCAUGUCGCUCACGCCGCGUCGGGCGGUGGCCAUCAGGCACGUCGUCGUCACGCAGCUCAGCUCGACGGAGGACGGAUGGAGUUGACGAAGGAGGGAGACUCGUACAGUUCACGGUCGGACGCAUCCACUGUUUAGCUUUGCCUACUUACUCAUGGUGGAAGGCAACGAAUGUUAACAUUCAGCUAGCAUGCGGCCGUACCUGUUGCAACUACACCACCGUUACAUAGCAUCAUCACCACCGCUACGUCGGUCAACAAUCUCAAGCACCUACACGAGGUAGCUCCAUCUCCAUGGAAUAAAAUCAUUUUGGAUUAAAAUGAGCGAGGCAUGUACGUAUACCAAGAGACAAGAGUUUGAAAUUUUGUUAGGGGAGAAACUCAGUGUAUCUGUACGAGUGUUAAACCGAAAUCCCAUCGCGUGACCCCCGCGUCGCCCUCUGGCGUCUCGGGGGGUGAAACCCUACCGCCGCCACCUAGUACUCUCGUACUCCUGCCCGUCUCGCCGCCGCCAGAGGCGCCCACCCGCGAAGCUCGGCUAGGAUCCAGGGACGGCGGCUGCGGGGCGCAUCUCCAACUAACGUGACACGACGUCGUUCGCUGCUCGGAGGAGUGGUGUGGUGUUGUCGAGGGUCUGGUAGGCGGAUGGACUGUGGAUCAACGUUGAUGCGCGGAUGGCGUGCUGGGCGCGUUCCCGAUGCGUGGUGACGACGCUCCUGGCUUCGCGCAUGAGCGAGGGCAGCCGUGGUGCUGUUCCAGCUGCAGCGAAGGAAAGGUUGGGCUGUGGUGUGCUGAGCUGCGCUUCUCAGAUCUGAUGCCUUUCCUUUGCUCGAUGGAGACGAGGCACCUGCAGGCUGCUAAGAGCAAGCGGCCAGUUGAUUGGCUGGGUUGGGGAUCGACCUCAUUAUCCCGCCGAUCGCUCGAGUCGGAAAAAAAUCCUAUAGGACCGGGUCGUACACUCCUGAUCAGUGAGACCAUCUCCUGCAGCUGACACGUAGCAGAAUGAAUCUCAAAGCAACAGCCAGUCUCAAAUCCCCUUUUCUUCUCCAACGCCCACGCUCCGGCUUGCCGCUGGUGCUUGCUACUCUGGAUCCGCCGCAACUCUCCUUCUCCCUACGCCGUAGAACGGUAGAAUGACUGCUGCUCCGCCCCAGCUGCUCUUCCCCAUCCAUGGCCGUGCUUCUCAGCGGGUCGGCAGCUCGGCGUGGUGCUCCAUCCACAACCACGCUCAUCGAUGCCCCUGCUGCACGCAGCAUCGAUUCCGGCCUCAAGUUCAGGUGGCUAGGUGUAGUAGCGAUUCCGAUGCUGUCUAAUUAUGAAAAUGAUUUUAAUUUUGCUUGGAAGAAAUGGAUUUGGAGAUUUGUAGCUUUUUGCUAUCAUGAUGGAGGUGUGCCCGUUCCGUGAGGAAGAAUCCAGCGCCGGCGGUGGUGCGAGCGGGGCCUUCGAGGAGGUUGGCCAUGGAAGCAACGACCAGAGUAGUUCUGUCGCCAGGGGCGAGCUGCUAGGACGCCGAUGAGGUUGGUUAUGAACGGUAGAGGAGAGUAGCGGAGACGAGACCAGAGACUCUGCUGGAAUCAGAGGAUAAUUGCUUUGAGAUCCGUUCUGCUACGUGUCAUCUGCGGGAGCUGGUCUCACCGUCGGGGCUGUACGACCUGGUUGUAUAGGAUUUUUUUCCGCUGGAGUCCCCUUGCGCCUGUUGUUGCCAAGACCUUGCCUCGCCCUUGCUCUCAGCAUAUAAUUUGAAAUUUUGUUAGGGGAGAAACUCGGCAUAUAAUUUAGAAAAAGAAGCUGGAUGUCGACGGUGUUUACUUUACCGAAAAAGGCUUUCACCCCGCUUUAUAUAUAAAGCACCAAACCACAAGCAUGCAGUACAAACCACACGCCACGUCACCGCAACACACACAUACCCAAGACAUGAUACAUAAGCGCUGAGCGCAGCAACACCACUCCUAGCACUAUCGCCCCGAAGAUAUGAAGCUACAUAUGACGAACCAUGCGCUCCAAGGCGGCGCCUUCAGGAAGGAUACGACGCCGGAGCACCGCCACCGCUCGAUCCAAGGAUCAGAGUUUCCCCCGGAGCCGCAUGACGGGCAAUGAGAGCCGCGACGACGCCUUCAAGAAGGGAACGAUUUCACCGCCGCCGGUCCGUCCGAAGAUAGAGCAGGUUUUCACCUCGGCCAACAGUCACCGCCACCGAACGCCACACCCCGGCAACCACGCCGCCCACACGACCAUGAUGACCGGGCAGCACCAAGGCACGGGCUUUGUCCAAGAGCACCGUGCAACCACCACCACCAGGGCCGCCGCCCCAGCAUCCAAGACCUCGACACCAACUCACCCGUGACCCGCCGCCCCCCAACGAAAGAGACGAGCGGAAAGGUCCCACCUUUCGCGCCCCUGGGCGACCCCCAGCGUCGAGACCCAAUAGGUCGACCAGAACUGGCAUGCACCGACCCAUCCUGCUGCCCCAAGUGCGAGAUGAGCUCGGUCCUGCAGCAACGAGAGGGGGACGAGGUCAGUCCUGCUGCAACGUGCGCGAGACGAGCUCGGUCCUGCUGCAUCAUGCGCGAGACGAGCUCUGUCCUGCUGCAUCGGGCGCGAGACGAGCGGUGGACCGCGGCUGGGAGAGGACCAGCCCUUUGAUGGGAGUAGCGUCCGGGCGACGAGGAGAUGGGGUGAAGGUCAAGACGGCCCGAACGCAGACAAACCGACGCCGGAGAAGCCGACCGUUGUCGCGGACAGAUCCAUCGAGCCACCGUGAAGCCGCCACGACACCGGUAGGCCACCGAGACCUGCCCAUGCCGCCGCCCACGGCCGGAGCAGCAGCCACGCCUGGCCGCUGCCCAUCCGCAUCGCCCGGAGAGCUCCAAGCGCCGAAGCCGCCAGGCACGCAUCAUCGGAGCCACCGCCACUGCGCCACCACCCCGACCAGCAGAGGGGGCCUCGGCCAGGGCCGCCACCAUCAGCCCUAGCCGUCACGGCCCGCGCUGCCGAGAGGCCAGAUCCGGAAAAGCCGCCGCAGCCGCCGACUCCGACCUCCAGCCCGCACCACCACCACCAUCUGCCGCGGUGCCACCACCACCUGCCGCGGCCACGGCAGAGGAGGCCACCGGCAGCCCACACCGCCCGCAGCCCGCGCCGCCAUGAGCCAGAUCUGGCCGCGCAGGAGCCGCCGCCGUCUCGGGCACAAGCGUGCUACCCACCUAGCCGCCUGCCGCGGGGGAGGAAAGAACGACAGGGAGCCGCCCCAGCCCGCCGCGUCGCCAUGAAGCCCGGCCGCAGCUCCACGACCCGGCCCAGGGCGCCGGCCCGCGCCAGCAACGCCCGAGCGGGGAGACAAAGGGGCCCCGCCGCCGCCGGCAGCAGCAGGGCUUCGCCUGGCCGCGCCCCUCGGCGGCGGCGAGGGAGGAGGAGGGGGGAGGAGGGAGCGGCGGCGAGGGUUGGGGUUGGCCUCCGGCCGCCUCGCAGGAGACGACGCAGAGGAAGCGCUUCCGGGAAGCCCUGUCCGGGUUUCUAACCGGAUAUAUGUUUUUGUUGCUUGUGCCAAGGUUCAAGACCUUGAUGUGUUGACGGUGUUUACUUUCGCUAGAUUACACCUUGGCUUGUCGAAACAAUGCGCGUUCUGGUCAAACAAAAGGCCCGUGUUAGAAAAUAUUUACACUUCACUUAAGCAGCAACGGUUUGACGGACAGUCAAAGCCUACACUGUCACUGAUCGCAUCAUUUUUAAAUGCUGUUUCCCGACGGUACGUAGCCUCUCGACGGAACUUCAUGCAGUUGGCAAUGUCGGUGUUCAAGAGGGACUCAUGAACUCAUACUGCGUGCGUGCGUGUGUGUGUGCAUGCGAUGUGCAACAGGUACUCCCUCCGUUCCCAAAUAUUUGUUUUUUUAGGCAUUUCAAAUGGACACAACAUACGGAUGUAUGUAGACAUAUUUUAGAGUGUAGAUGUACGUGUGUGCGUGUCCGUGUGUGCAUGCACGUACGCAGCCGGCUCCUCAAGUGUCCAUGUACGCGUCAAUGGAACACGCGGCCCAUGGCACGUCAGAGCUGUAGAAGCGCAGCGUCUAAAUUGAAAUGGCGGCGGCUUCAAGUCCCUGUCGAGAGCGUCUCAGUCCAGGCGCUGGCCGCGUUGUACCCUUGUACCUGUUGUAGCUGUGCAUUGGUAGCUCUGUUCCCGCUUGCUUCUGUGGCUGCUCGCUGUUAUAGCUUGGAUGGAUAUGGAUGCUUCUUCUUACGAAUUUAAUCAAAACUCAGCUUGGAUGGUUGUCACAUGUACUGAUCUAUAGUUUUGUUCAAUGGAUAUAUAAUUAAAAUUUCAACAACAUUUUCAUCCAAAAAUUCGACAUGACCUCUCUUUAUUCUUGUACCAUUUUCACAUGUCAGAAAUAUACACAUAUGAUGAUCCAUAUAUUCAGCUCAAUAAGGUGCAUAUAUGCCCCUAGACUUGACAAGCCAGAAUGAGUAUGCAUGAAUUUCAGAUUUCAAGCAUAAGGUGAGUCCUUGACUCACAAGUUGCAUCCAAAAGCAUAAAGUGAGUCUGCGUCUCACCACACACACCACAAUAUCACAAGAGACACUGAUGGAGGAUUUCAACCCAAAAGCAUCGACUUCACAAAGUAGUGGCAUCAUUUUCAUAAAGAUCGCUACACACUACAGCAUCACAAAAUGGCAUGCUACACUCUUCGUCUCCUCUUCGGCGUGAUAUCCUUUGAUGCCUUUCGUAACAACUUUUGGUGGAGAAGUGGGAAUCCAUGUUUCCAUAGAAAGUUGCCUACAUAAUAUAUAAAUUUCAUGCAUUAAAAAUAGGACCAAUGUCAUACACAAUUGAAGAAAAACAUCAUUUUCUUCACGUCCUUGUGAUUGGAUCAGGGUUGCAUUAUAGGACAGCAAAUGAAGAUGUCACUACAAGUGGGCUAUCAAGAGAUGGUUUACUACACAAAAAGGCUUUUUUUAAUAAUAUAUAAAACAUCGAACAUUCGUAGAGAUAUUACAAAGAAGCAAAGAAAGUUACCUCAUCAUCAUAGGGCGAGGGCUGGCUUGUGGGACAGCCAAUGAGGUCGUCACUCCAAGAAGGCUACCAAGAGAUGUUUGACUAUAAAAUAUGCAGUGCAUAAGGAUAAAACAUUUCACAUGUGUAGAGUUAUUGAAGAGAAGCAGAAUUAAUUUACCUCCUCUUCCUAGGCAAGGAAUGACUUGCAGGACAAGCAACUGAGACAUCUAGGGCUGGCUAUGAUUUUCAACUCCAGGGCCGACUACACUUCAGUGUCAACUAUCUAUGAGUCUCAACCUCAGAACGACUCGUCGACUCAUCGACUCGUACCUUGGUGAUGGGACCAGGGAGCUGAUGAGGGUUCGUUUCAGGUUAGCCUUUUAUGUUCACAUACAAAAACCUGAUGAGAUAUUCAUGAUUGCCACGCUUGCUGCUUGAUUAAUCAGUGGACAAUAUCUUACCAUCGCAUAGAUUAAUAUGCAAAAAGAGGUCUNNNNNNNNNNNNNNNNNNNNNNNNNNNNNNNNNNNNNNNNNNNNNNNNNNNNNNNNNNNNNNNNNNNNNNNNNNNNNNNNNNNNNNNNNNNNNNNNNNNNNNNNNNNNNNNNNNNNNNNNNNNNNNNNNNNNNNNNNNNNNNNNNNNNNNNNNNNNNNNNNNNNNNNNNNNNNNNNNNNNNNNNNNNNNNNNNNNNNNNNNNNNNNNNNNNNNNNNNNNNNNNNNNNNNAUAUUAGACCUCUAAUUAGUGUCUGUUGUCUGUCUUGUUGCCCCUUUUACUACUACACCAGAACACCAUCAAACCUCUAAGGAGAAUCACACCAUGAAAGCAAGCAAGGAGAGCGGAUUACCUGCAGUGUGACCUUGAUAUGUCGAGCUCGGCUGCUCCUCCAGAUUGAAGACGGUGCGGCGGCCAUAUCGGGGGUGGUGCCAGUGGAGGGCGUAGGGUCUGGGGUGGGGUGGAAGAGGGAGAGGGGAUCGAGUGCCUUGGAACGGACGUGCCGUGCAUCCGGGUUCUUCCCCACGCGUGGCUAUUUUUGGCCGCAGAAAACAAAUCAGAAAUGACCAUCCUAACAUAGUUUGCUCCGUAGUGCUCCCACCAAAUCUCUUAAUAGUUAAUUAUAUGUCCAGCAAUUUUUGGUGGAUCAUUACUAUGCCAUUUGGAAAGUAAUAUAUUAAUAGCCAUUGUGUCAUUUUACAUAUUAGAUCGGCACAUCUAUUAGGCGAUAGCUUAUAGUUUUAUGUGAUGUUAGAUUAGUACAUGAACAUUCGUAUUGGCACUCAAUGGUGUUACAUGUAUCAACAUUUUGUGGUCCAAAUAAUGUUGAAGAGCCUAGUUGAGCUACAUCCUUAUUAGUAACUUCUAAAUAUUUCAAGUACACGCGACAUGAAAAUUUAUUUUUCUAUUUGAAUUUUUUUUACAUGGUACAUUUUACUAUUUUCAGUUAACAUUCAUCUUUCCCAAUGGAAUACAAAAGAAGAGAGGAAGAUCUGCUGGAACAUGCUUUAGCUAGUCCAUGUCUCUAGAUCAUAGGAUGCAGAUUCAUUUCUGUUCUAGACCGUAGGAUCUGAUGUAGCAUGCUUAGUACUCCCUCCGUUCCAAAAUAGAUGACCCAACUUUGUACUAACUUUGUACUAAAGUUAAUACAAAGUUGAGCCAUCUAUUUUUGAACGGAGGGAGUAUUUUGCAUAGUUUUAAAUAGCAGGCUAUGCUAAAUAGCGGUAUGUAGUCCUCCAAAUUAGCUAUAGAGGGGCUAUAUAUAACCGGCUAUUUAGAACUUCUUAGUUCAUGUAGAUAUAUUUUCAUAUGCAACUACUACUAAGGAAUUAAUUAACCCACUAUAUAUAUAAAGUAGAGUAAACUAAUUCCUUUCACAUGGCAUGAGUAUAUGUCUACUUAAAUAUUGUGAUGCGACAUAUCAUUAACUUUUGAAAAACUUCUAGUAAAGAUGGCCUUUAUUUUAAAGUAUGUGAACUGUUGUAUUUUCCCUUGAAUUUUUUCUCCAUAUAAGAAAUAAUUUUCCCCCAUAUGACUUCACAUAGUAAGAAAGGAUCCAAUGUUUACCUUCAAUGCUGCAUUUACAAAUUGUUAAGGAAUAGUUUGGUGAGACAUCAUAAGCAGUAGCAUACACGAGGUUUUUCUUCUUCUCGCGCUUAUCUAAGCAAAACACAAAGUUACAAAUCAAACAUCUCACAUAGGGUGGGUUGAAAAAUCUUAUAGUUCUUUCUAUCUAAUGUAACUCUGUAGAUAAUAGGAAUAAUGAAGCACCUUAUUAGACACCCUAGCUAGCUCACAGAUUUGACAUAAAAAUGAAAUUAAGCUAAUGGAAAAUAACAACAAAGCAAUUAAAAUAUAUCUCCACACAAAUAAUGUAAUUAUAUUUCACAACCAUUCAAUCAAUUUUGCUCAGAGUUUACUUCCAAGGAUCUUUCUUGAUUGCGCUUCAACAAAUUAUCUAACAAUUGUGUAUCUAGAAUGAAAACAAAAGAUAAAUAAUUUUGUAGCCAUGAUUAGGAAGGUCGGUCAAUCUACUACAUAAAAAGAAUAGAACAAUGGCACAUAAAAAUGGAUAAAAAAAUUGGGUUAUAGUGAUGACUUACCUUAAUGUUGUGCCAUCAAUUUAUCUAGAAAGAGGGGCAUGCAGUCUUUGGAAAGAUCACUAGGGUACAGUCAAAGUGAUUAUUAAGAAUGCUAUUUCAAAUUUUAGAUGUACUUUCAAUACUUCCCGAAAUGAACUGAACAAUGCCAUACAAAAAUAUCUGUUUUCAACAUGUAUAUUCAAUAAUAAAAUAUGCAAACAUAUUGGAUUACAAUAAUGAAUUAUCAUAGCGUGGUGUGCCAUCAGCUGAUCUAGAAAGAGAGUGAACUCACUUGCAUGCAUGAACAUUGGUGCAAUCGAAGUAAUUAUGAAGAGCAUAUUAUGUCAAAUUUUUGGUGCACUUUAAGAAGCACUUACCUAUAUGUUCUCCAAAUCUAUAAUCCAAACCCGCCAUCUUGAAUGAGUGAGAAUCACAUUAUGUGAAAAAAUGAAGAUAGAAAACCAUAUAUACAUAAACACGAAAAUGUUUGAAUAUAACUACAGAUCUAUAAUACCAACACAAAUAUUGAUGUGCCUUUACAUGCUCUCACUACUAGGAAAAAGGCUAUAGAUGGGAUGGACACUAAUGGCGCACCUGCCAUGUGGUGCACCAUUAGUAUCUACUAAUGAUGCACCAUGUUCAUGUGCGCCAUUAGUGUGGAAGACACUAAUGGCGCACCAGGGACAUGGUGCGCCACUACUGUUGUUUAUUAUUUUUUCUUUUUUGCAAAAAUUACUAAUGGCGCACAGUGGCACAGUGCGCCAUUACUAGUUUAAACUAGUAAUGGCGCACUGUGCCACGGUGCGCAAUUAGAAUAUAUACUUUUUUUAUUUUUUUGCAAAACUUUUAAUGGCGCACCAUAAGCAGGUGCGCCAUUAGGAACCAGGGUCACUAAUGGCGCAUUUGCAUACGGUGCGCCAUUAGUACCAGGGUUACUAUUUNNNNNNNNNNNNNNNNNNNNNNNNNNNNNNNNNNNNNNNNNNNNNNNNNNNNNNNNNNNNNNNNNNNNNNNNNNNNNNNNNNNNNNNNNNNNNNNNNNNNNNNNNNNNNNNNNNNNNNNNNNNNNNNNNNNNNNNNNNNNNNNNNNNNNNNNNNNNNNNNNNNNNNNNNNNNNNNNNNNNNNNNNNNNNNNNNNNNNNNNNNNNNNNNNNNNNNNNNNNNNNNNNNNNNNNNNNNNNNNNNNNNNNNNNNNNNNNNNNNNNNNNNNNNNNNNNNNNNNNNNNNNNNNNNNNNNNNNNNNNNNNNNNNNNNNNNNNNNNNNNNNNNNNNNNNNNNNNNNNNNNNNNNNNNNNNNNNNNNNNNNNNNNNNNNNNNNNNNNNNNNNNNNNNNNNNNNNNNNNNNNNNNNNNNNNNNNNNNNNNNNNNNNNNNNNNNNNNNNNNNNNNNNNNNNNNNNNNNNNNNNNNCCUCCCAUCCCGCCGACGACGACCGCACGGGGUGCAGUACGAGGAGGAGGACGGGAUCCGUCCGUUGCUUCCGACGGCCGCCUCCGCCGACGAGCCGGGCAGCCACACGCGCCCAGCUCCACCGCCGCCGCCGCCUCCUCGUCUGCGUCGCCGGUGCCGCCGGAGGACGACGUCUGCUCCGUCUGCCACGACCGCUUCCGGAUCCCCUGCCAGGCCAACUGCUCCCACUGGUUCUGCGGUUCGUUGCCCACUCCUCCCUCCUCCCUCCCCCGAUCCAUCUCCACUGGCUAAGUUAGUGUACUCUGGCUCACCAAUACAGUAUAUGUGUGUACUGUUAAUGUUGCUGCGGUGCUUGGGUGACUUGGGUGUUCAGAAGUGAGGAAAAAGCAAAGUUGGUUUGUAGGCUUGAGACUUGAGACUAGUCUUCUUGUGUUUGUUUCAGUUUCAAUUCAACAAAGCUGCAACCAAGUCAUAGAAAGGAUCGGCGGUUUCAAGUUUCACAAGUACUCCGUAGCCAAGCACAAGCCUAAAGUUUGCUCUAGUACAUACAUUUGGUCAAUUAGGAAUAGACUGCACAACAAUUAGGAACACUGAAAGUGGCAUCUUGCAUGGCACAAGAGUGAAUCUGUCUGUACAGGUUUUUAAGCCUCUCUCUCUCUCUCUCUCUCUCUCUCUCUCUCNNNNNNNNNNNNNNNNNNNNNNNNNNNNNNNNNNNNNNNNNNNNNNNNNNNNNNNNNNNNNNNNNNNNNNNNNNNNNNNNNNNNNNNNNNNNNNNNNNNNNNNNNNNNNNNNNNNNNNNNNNNNNNNNNNNNNNUCUCUCUCUCCCUCCGAUAAUCAACCAGGCACUCACUGGCUCACUCUGUUUGUGCGCGCGCGUGUGCGCGGUUUCACAUCCCUGAACCCCUAAGACUUAGUUCUGAAAUAUUCAGAUGCUCCUGUACUGUUCUAACUUGUCAUCUUUGUUACUCAUGGCUUGCUUGACGGAGAUACAAAAGAUGGAAAGAGAACAUUGCUUCUUGUAGAUAGUCUGUUAAAUUUCCAUGAAUUAACCUUUUCAUGUUUAGGUCAUAUUCAGUGGUGUCAUUUUCCUGUUUGUCUGACAAUUACCGGUUAGUGUAUUGUACAAGGUGUAUGCUAUUUGACAUUGACACAAAAGGCAGAAAAUACAAAAAAUGCAUAAUUUCCAAGACAUGAUUCUACUAACCUCAUUCUCACGUUAUCAUUCUAGUUAUUUUUUAUUGUUAGUCAAUACAAAAGUAGUUUUGGCUGUAGCCAUUCUAAAACCAUAUUUGUUUGCCUCCGCACAUAGUUAAACUCGGUCUCAUGACACCAUUUGUUGUCUUCAGAUUUAUAUAAAAGCAUCACAGUUAUCAAUUUAAUUAGUAGCACCACCGCUAUGUGAUUAGGACAUCAUGCCGGCCAUCGAGGAUGAUCUGAUCAUGCAGUUCUUGUUUGCUGCCGCACAUACUUCGCGGCCUGCCCUAUGGACUGUAGUUUCAUUUUUUAUGGGUUCUUGAGAUAUGUUAUUUGAAGGGAGCAUCCUGAUUUCUUCAGUUGCAAUUGUUUUGUUCAUUUCCUUUUUGCCUUCUUGAUUGGCUCAAACAUGCUCAUUGUGAAAGGGCGAGGAGCUGCCGCCAUGUUUCUCCCCGAGCUCCGUGGUAGAAUGGUCUAUUUGUAUCAGAUUGUGUUUAGUGGAUGCGAAGAGCUCAGUUCUGGUAAGCUAGACCCUGAGGCGUGCAGCAGGUAUGUGGAAAUUAAGGAGCGUGCCCAUGUGAGCGGCUUCGAUUUUGUUGUGCCAAGAUCUCCGGUGGCAGGGAUUCACUUCUUUUUUUGGUGAUAGUAAGGAGGUUAUAUAGUUUGAUGUUUCUAAAUUUUAACAAUCAUGUUUUACAGUACCCUUGACAUGAAUGAGAUGACUGGGCUUAAAUGAGAAUGAUGAGAACCAUCUUGUUCUCCGUCGCAAUCAGCAUGUGUUUAAACUACUACUGCAGCAAAUGUUUGUCGUACCUUCAGUUUGUGCCGCAGAAUCUGUGUCUGAAUGUGACUGAGAGCCCGAGCAUACAUACUGAACAUUUUUUCCUUUGAUUAAGAAUUAAUUCAAACCGCAACCAAGUUGAUUGGACUUUCUAGGAAGAUUGACAGUUCAAGUUUCAAGUUGAUUGGACAAUUCUGUUCGAGCUCGAUUUUGUCACAGAUAAUGCACGAAUCGUGGUGCAAAGUGCGGGGACGGAAUUCUAUUCUAGGAAGUAUGACUUGUCACUUCUACAAAUCGAACCCAUCAUUUAGUUAUGGACCAGUAUAAUUUAAUUUGCAGUACUUGGCGUUGAGCAGCUAGCACUGCUGAAUCUUAGCAGCAAAAGAGGCCCAUUUGCAAAUGUAAAUUCUUAAGCAUAUGUUUUGGCAUACAAGUAUCUCUUUCUUCAAGACCGGUAAAUCAACUUGUGAUGUUGCUGCUGUACUACUUGGGAAUUUUGUGAUGCUGUUGCUGUACUACUUGGGAAUUUUGUCAACUUGUGAUGCUACUGAUGUACCCCGAGAGGCCCUUGAGUUUGCCGGAAUGUCGAUUAACUUCCGUUCCGGCAAAUUCGGGCACUCCAUAUGUCCUAUUUUCAGCAAAAGGUCAUGCUGAAAUUUUCCGUGAAUUUUAGCAUGACUUUGCUAAAAAUAGGACAUAUGGGGUACUUGCGACUAAUGCAUGUUUUAUGAUCUGUUGUAAGGGCACUAAUUGGUCUCUUCUGCUGCUUAUCAGAGAUGGGGGGAAGCAGCCACCGCCGCUCUACGACACCGAAGUACGAGUUCGAUGCUUCCGAGUUCUUCAGUAUCAUACUUGGGACUUCAGUAUCAUCCAUGACGCAGGUAUAUAAAACGAGAGAUCUCCCCUUCACCCAUCUCAUUAUGAUAUCUGUUGUUUGCUACAUCACUCAUUGUCCCAAACUGCAGAGGUUGCCUGACAGUUUUAUGAACAUGCUGGGUGAAGAUCCGCCAAAUAAUGUGAAGCUGCGACAGGCCGGCAGUGGGUUUCGCAGGCAGUGGGAUGUGGAGUUGGUGAUCAAGGAGGGCCACAUGUACUUGUCUCAUGGGUGGGAAGUUCUACCAUGCCUACGACCUGCGGCUGGGGUACUUCCUUCUCUUCAGGUACGACGACGACGCCACCAUGCUCAUCGUGAAGGUGUUCAACACGACUAUGUGUCGCAUGCGCUAUGCUGACGAUGAUGAUGCCGGUACGUUAUGCCUCUUCUUAUUCCUCUAUAUGUGGCUUUGUCUCACAUCGAUUGUUAACGGUCAUUGUUGCAUUUGGACAGGUAAUGGGAGCAGCAGCAGCGACACUGGCUACAGCCAAAGCAGCAACGACUAUGGCUGUAGCAAAAGCAACACCGAUUCUGGCUUUAGCGAAAGCAGCAGCGAUUCUGGCAGCAGCAUAGACAAUAAGAAGGAUGAUCCGGACUGGAGUGCGGGAGAAGAGAAGCAGAGUGGGGAUGAGGAGCUGCAGGAUGACGAUGGGCAUCAGGCUGAGGAUGACCUAGCGCUGGUGGUGGCUGACCAAGGGCAAGAUAUGGUGGUGGCUGACCAUGGGCAAGAGAUGGAGGUGGCUGAGGAUGACCUAGCAAUGGUCGUGCCCGUCCUGCCUGAAGGUGGCCUCGCAAUGGUGGUGGUGCCUGACAAUGACCACGCACCGGUGGUGGCGCCGGCGAUCCCACAGCUGGGCGACAUGACCACGCCAAUUGUGGUAGAAGACUACAUCCCACUGCCUCCACCGCCUCCACCGCCUCGCCGCUCUUGGCGCAUCAGACUGAGGAAGGAGAAGGAGAAGAACAAUGAGAACUGAACUAUGUCAGGNNNNNNNNNNNNNNNNNNNNNNNNNNNNNNNNNNNNNNNNNNNNNNNNNNNNNNNNNNNNNNNNNNNNNNNNNNNNNNNNNNNNNNNNNNNNNNNNNNNNNNNNNNNNNNNNNNNNNNNNNNNNNNNNNNNNNNNNNNNNNNNNNNNNNNNNNNNNNNNNNNNNNNNNNNNNNNNNNNNNNNNNNNNNNNNNNNNNNNNNNNNNNNNNNNNNNNNNNNNNNNNNNNNNNNNNNNNNCCAAAAUGACAUAGAUUAGCUUCAUUUUACCUAAGUUGGCUCUAAUAUACUAACUUAGAGCUUAUAUGCUUAGUUUCCUAUAGGUUAGCUCCAAAAUAACUUAUGUUAGCACAAAAUGAUCAAGUUUACAUAAUAAGCUUGUAGUCUUCUUCUUAUUCUUCUUCUUUUCUAAAAUGACAUAGGUUAGCUUCAUUUUACCUAAGUUGGCUCUCUAAUAUGCUAACUUAGAGCUUAUAUGCUUAGUUUCCUAUAGGUUAGCUCCAAAAUAACUUAUGUUAGCACAAAAUGAUCAAGUUUACAUAAUAAGCUUGUAGUCUUCUUCUUAUUCUUCUUCUUUUCCAAAAUUCUUCUUAUUCUUCUUCUAGUGUUCUUCUUCUAGUAUUCUUCUAGUCUUCUUCUUCUUCUUCUACUAACUUCUUGUUUAUCAUUUUGCAGAUUUGAUUUAAUUCACGGAAGCUUGCAUGGAUGGAGUGCUUCUUUUCCAUUUGUGUUUUUAUUUUGUAUCAAUGUGAAACUUUUGUGAAUUGAUGGAUAACGGUGUUGGAUGAACAAUGUGAAACUUUUGUAAUAUGUAACGAUGGAACUAAGUGUUGGCUAUGUAUGUAUAUACGAUGAAACUUGUGUGUUGGCUACGAUUGUUAUAUGGAUGCUUGUUGUAUAUAUAUGUGUUGGAUAUCUCAUAUGUGAAAUAGUGACCUAAGAUUAAGAAAAAACAAAAAAGAUAAAAAAAAUUGUUACUAAUGGCGCACUAUCAUGUGGUGCGCCAUUAGUAUAGCAGACACUAGUGGCGCACUGUGGGCAAAACUAAUGGCGCACUGCGUGGUGCGUCAUUAGUAUACCAAAUACUAAUGGCGCACCAGUGGUGCGCCAUUAGUAAAAAAUACUAGUGGCGUGAUACUAAUGGCGCACCGGUAAUGCGCCAUUAGUAGGCAAAACCGGUGCGCCAUUAGUAGGCCUUUUCCUAGUAGUGUCUACCACUGAAACUGGUUUCUCAUCUUCUCACAGAGGUGGUGAAGAAGGUUUUAUGUAAACUUAUUUGGAGUGUUCAUGUGUCUGAUGUCCAUUGGAUAGUCAAAGAGAGUGCAUACACCACAUUCUUAGUAGAAACGGGUAUGCAUGCACGUACAGUUAAGGGUGAGACACGUCAGGUUAUGCUAAGACACAUGAGCUGAACAGUCGAUAAGUGUUUAGAGAUAGUUGCUAUGAGAAACUAUGGCAGAAUUUGACACUUUAAUUAUCUCCUCUUGCAGGAAAUGAGAAAUAUUGAUCUUUACUUAGAAUGAGCCAAUAGCCAAGCAAGGCUAAAGAUUUGAAGCAUAUGUAUUCUGAGUGGUGGAAUGUUAUCCAGAGUUGUAAGUGCCAGUUUUAGAAGGUAUGUACAUUACGAAAUAGAGUAAAGAAACAAAAGAAAAGUACACAGUGUGUCACCUACAAUUACAAUGGAUACAUAAAAUCUACGUCACACUGAUUUAUCACCUGAAUUUACGGAACAUAGCUAAAAGAAGAAGAGUAAAAUCUAGCCAUUUAGAAUGAUACUACAUAGUGUAUAAUGAUGCAACACAUUAAUAAUUUAAACCAUAUAGAAAGCUAGAAUUACUUAAGUAUUACUGUAGCUUGAUGCUUGAUUAUUCACCUAUCACAGUAGUAGUAGUGUUUUGGCACACAUGCAGUCACAAUUGGAAGUCACUUGUCUCAUCACCGUAUAAGGAAUAUUAAUAACACAUCCAAGGAUAGACAUAAAUUUACAAAUUUGAACGCAUAGACCUCUUGUAUUAUAUUUCACAUGUAUUUCACUGAGACAAAGAUGCAAACCUGUAUGGUGAAGUGCUAAAAGCAUGACUGACCAAAGGACUGUUGGGUUACUAAUUGGAACAUGUACACAAUUAGGCUUCUAAACAUAGAACGUACCACAAAAUUCUGAUACUGAGAUGGUAUAUUUUUGUUCCUACAAAAAAAUAAAGUGAUGUCGUCGGCGUGAUGUCUUCAAAAAAUUAAGAUGGAAACACACAAAUCAUCAUUUAAUCUGUCUGGAAUUUAAUGUAAAUAUAUAAUUCAAAAAGCAAUCGUUUGUCUUCUCUUUACAUCAACAUGGUCAGCUAGCAGAUCCAAGUUUGCUCUGAAUGAAUCCAAAUAAUGGACAAAACGAAUCAGAUCACAUAAAAACAAAACAUAAGUUUGGUACUACUAGGUGAGGUUGAAUGUUGAAGUAAUUGAGAAUUCGAGGUUCCAAGAUGAGGCAUCACGUGGGCCCAACGGCGCGCCAAGCCACCAGCUCGGGGAUCAGGCGUAUGCAAGGACACAGACAAAGGAUACUUUUUUUUUGUUUGCGAAAACUGACAAAGAAUACUUACCUGGUACCUUGUCCUCGGGGAUCUUGUUCCAGUUAGAUGCAUAUAUUCUACAUAUACUAAAUCUAGAACCGUUUAAAUUCUCUGGUUUGUUUGAGUUUUUUUGGCAGUUUGAACUGGUGACCUGGAUGGGUAAGCUUCUGGGGUGCACGCUGCGUUUCUCUGCGAUUUAAUUCUUGGUCAAACGUGUGUCCUGUCUCUCUAAACAGGAGCUGUAUUUUAUGCUGCAUGCGGUCGGUGGACGUAAUUUGUUGACCGUGUGCAUGUAGUACUGAUGGAUCGUUGGGGCAGUGCAUGGCAUGUGGGGUUGCAUGCAUGGUUCUAUUUGCCUCCGGAUAUCUAAAUGUGGGGUUGCAUGCAUGGUUCUAUGCACGUUUCCAAACAGUACGCACAUCAAACAUGCCUGCAUGCAGCAUGCAACCACCGACCAACCACGCCGUGCCGCUGCUGCCGUAUAUUCUGGAGGCUGCUGAUGGUUUCAGUAGAUUAGUACUCCGUUCCAAAAUACGUGAUCCAUCGCAUUGUUUUGGAACGGAGGGAAUACAAUUUUGCUUCAUGUUUCUGGCCCUUCCGAGCCCUAUAAAUACGUGAUCCAUCGCAUUGUUUCUCUCCAUCUUGCGCGUUGUGAUCUCUGUUCGCAAAUGGAUCAUGGUAGGUCUUUCCAAAGUGGCCUCCGUCGUCCUUGUCGUUCACCUGGAGUUCGCGGGGCUGUGAUUGGGCGUCGUGAUUUGCGGCUCCAGCCUCCAGGUCGUCCUCCUGGGAUCCGUGGGGUAGUUAUUGGGCGCAAUGAUCUGCGAGGCCGGGGUGCGUCCAUGUCGGAAGCUGUUAGUGGUGGUCAUCGGAGCCAUCCUUCUGUUCAUCGUUCCGUUGGCUUCGCAUCUAUUGUUUGGUUAUUAAGGUUGAGUUUUUCCAGCAUUUCAUUUACUUAUUUUUUAAUUACCUACUUCAUUUUCGUCUUAAUGCAGCUCAUUCUUCUCGUGGCUUUGGUUUUCCGGGCGAUACGAACCCUGCCGUUUCCCAACCCAGUUCUUCCAUUGUGCUCUCUGGUAUUGCUUCCCUAUAAAUUUGAUUUUUAUGAAUAACUGUUACAAACAAAAUAUGUCAAAUGCUUGCCAUGUUUCACUGUUGGCAUACGUGCACUUGGCAGGAUAAUACAACUUAAAUAAAUGUUGUUUCAUGUGAAAAGGCAACACGUGUUUGUGGUGCAUGCCGGGGUUGCCCACACGGCUACGUGCAUGUGCCAUGCAUUAGUACGCUUUGCCGAUGUGACUACGUGCAUGCUCCAUGCAGUUCUUUUUUUCCUCUAUUUUGUAUACCACGUAUGAUUCUUUUCUUCUUUUUUAGGAGAAUCUUCGGUUCCAUUUGGUGGUCCAGCUGAUCGGACUGCUGCUUUUCAGAGUUAAUUGCACAAAACCAUUACAUUUGGGACAUCGUUUGCAGAAAACCACGAGGUCACUAACUUUUUGCAAAAAACAUCGCACAUUCAGUAAACCUUUUGCAAAAAGCACUAAACAAGUGAUUUAGGUCAUUUAAUCACUUUCUAACAAGUGGGGCCGAAUUGUCGAGAGCUGACUUGGCAAAACAUUUACAUAUACACCCUUAGAUAUUAGAAAUAAAAGCAAUCAACCCCUUCCCCUCUCCCCCCGCAGACAGGGUUGACUGGCGCUGCGGUCAUGGCCGUCCUCAUCUUCUCCGCUCCGUCAGCCGCCGCACCCGCCUCAUCAGUAUCCCCGAACCCCGACUGGCGCGCUGUCGUGAGGACGUCCGGGUGCCCGCGCUGUCGUCGUCCGGCGCCCUGACCCUGCCGGCCGUCGGGAUGCCGUGGCGGGGAGCGUCAUCCCCGGCAAGGUGGACACGGAGACGAGGAGGAGGUGGAGUAAGGAGGUUCGUAUUGUUUAUAUCCCUUCACGGCAAGAUACAGCAGGGGACGGUGGCACUCACUUUUCCUGACUCGUGCACGUACGGCAGGGGACGGUGUGGCCGGGCAUCUUGUCAAACGGCUACGCUAGUACAGCUACAGCAAGAGUUCAGCAGGGCUGCAGACGGGGACGUUUCUGUUUCCGUCCGGCUGGCCAUGCAGGCGGCGGGCGUGCGCGCAGCAGGACGCCGCCGAGAAGUUCACGCGCGCCACGGACGCUGCCGCACCGGCAUGCCAUGGAUUGCGCUAGCUGGUCGGGGGCCACGCUGCGUUGGCAGAGUUCAUGCUCGACGCCGACCACGACGACUUCUAUGACGUGAGCCUCGUGGAGUCGUGGAUGGAUAUACAGAUGGCAGAUGGCACACACGUGCAUCGCAACACACACAUCUAGUCCAGCCAUGGAAGAGCUGCGGCGGCCGGAUGACACAUGGGCGAGGGAUCCCGUCAUACAAGCUAGUGUGGAGAACAUGCGUGGAGAAAAUUAGGGUAAAUGUGGAGAACAUGUGCGUGGAAAAUUAUGGCAGCUAUGGGGAAAAGAGAAACUAUCGGGGGUAGAGGUGGGUAAAUUCUUUCAAGUUCAAUGCUAAUAAGAUGGUUUAAAGAUCUGAGAUGACUAUGCCAUCUAUUAUACUAAGCUAAAUUUGAUGGUAGGAUGUUUCUGAUUAACUUAAGAAUUUCUAGCUAUUUCUCUAUUUUCAACCCGUAUUUUUCCUUUUGUGCUAUGUAUGCAUAAGUUGUCCUUUUGUCCUGACCUGGGUUUGCUUUCAGAGUCUCUCAAAACAGGCUUUUCACCCCGCUUUCGGAGUUUUUAAACAUCUGAUAAAAUUGCACGCAAGAGGCUUGUGAGCGGUGGAAGCAUUAGUGAAAGAUAUGUUUCUAGCUAAAUUGUAAGCAUACCACCAUGGCAAAUGUGAUUGCAUCUGAUAUACCACUAGCAUUCCGGUUGGUUCAGCAGUUGCAUUAUCCANNNNNNNNNNNNNNNNNNNNNNNNNNNNNNNNNNNNNNNNNNNNNNNNNNNNNNNNNNNNNNNNNNNNNNNNNNNNNNNNNNNNNNNNNNNNNNNNNNNNNNNNNNNNNNNNNNNNNNNNNNNNNNNNNNNNNNNNNNNNNNNNNNNNNNNNNNNNNNNNNNNNNNNNNNNNNNNNNNNNNNNNNNNNNNNNNNNNNNNNNNNNNNNNNNNNNNNNNNNNNNNNNNNNNNNNNNNNNNNNNNNNNNNNNNNNNNNNNNNNNNNNNNNNNNNNNNNNNNNNNNNNNNNNNNNNNNNNNNNNNNNNNNNNNNNNNNNNNNNAGAUUUUAAUUUUCUCUAUGAAUUCAGCCAUCAAAAGAAGGAAAUAAGAGCAAUACUGUGGCUAUGUCCAUCAUUUUUGUACAGGUAAAAAAGCUAUCAUCUUUGCGGAUAAACUCUUCUUCUUUAAUUACUCAUUUAAACAUCUCCUAAUGUUCCUGGUCAUGUAAGCAAAUAUUAAAUCUCGUCUACUUCGAGGGACAAAGAACAGUAGGGAGGCGUGGCUCUACUGGUAGGACAUAAGCAAUGGGAGGUCCGUCGGCAAGAAGACCCAGAAAAAGAAACACUAACUGGAGAAAUAUUAAGGAUGAAAACAAAAAUAAACUACUGCAACAAAAGAAGCUUAUACUCAAUCGAGUUGCGGAUUUGUUUAUAUGAAGAAGGAUCGCCAAAGGAAAUAGCAGAUCAAGAAAGAAAACCAAAAGACACAUUAGGAUGUAAAUAUGGCGUAGAAAGAAUAAAGCAAAACCAAGACAGAGGACUCUCAAGGUAGAACAUCAAAUGGUGCGAGAAAGGAACAUCAAAGAAACACUAAAGAGAGAAAAUAGUGAAGAGGAGGAGAGGCCAUGCAAUAUAUGCGCUCCGUAUAAUCCAUGGCCAUGGCCUCCAAAAAACAGAUCAAGAAGUGGAAAAACCCAGUACGCCGACCAACCUCGCCCAGCAAUGUAUUUUUCAGAUUUAGAACGUACUUAGGAACUUUUUUGAGAAACUGAACAUACUUAGGAACUACCCCAAUGGGCCACCAUCGUUGAAUUAUCUUGAUUCUUUCUAUAACAUAGUAUGGUAAAAGGAAAGGCACAGACAAAUAUCACACUCACAACACCAAAAUGAUAUCAACCAUGACCCAACAAUUGAAUUAAGGUAAAACCUUGUAAAACUCUGACUAAAAACUACACCCAUUGGGCUUAUAAUCAAGUAAGAUAACAUAUAUCUUUUCUUAGAUAAUACCUCGAACAGAACAUUAUAUGUACAGCUCACACUACAGUAAAAAAGGACCAUACUUACACUAACUACAUAUGAUCAGAUUAGAAAGUCCACCAUGCCGCAAAAACAUUUAGCACCCAUUUAAAUAUGGAUUUGGGUUCAUAGCUACACAAAGCAUAGUAAUUAUUGUGAAGAUAGAAAAAGAAUGCUCCUACUAUAAAAAAUAUAUAUACGCUGAUAAACAGCACCAUCCAAUUAGAGCUCGAAAACAGGAAUAGAGAAGGCACCUAUAGCUGUUCAUGGAGGUGUCUCUCAACCUCUAUUUGCAUACGUAGAGCUUCUGCCAAGUUCUAAAGGAGAAGGGAACAAAUGUAAAUUUGUAAGGUCAUGGUAUCUAUUAUGCAUGCAUUCUAGUGUAAUAAUUCAGAGAUAUUACUUGUUUUUGAACGGGUCACUUCCAAUGCUACCUGGUUGUACUUUCUUCAUGUCUGAGGAGGCCUUCUUGCCUGCAUACAAUAUGCAUCAAAAUUCAUCCAAAUGGCAAGCUCGAGGAUACUGUCUUCACGGGUAAUGCCUCGUCCUCAUGGCAAGCAAUUAAUCACGGCCUGGAUCUGCUAAAGAAAGGGUUAAUAUGGCGUGUUGGUAAUGGAAGAAGCAUAAGAGUGUGGCGUGACAAUUGGAUCCCUCGACCUUUUUGGUUUAAGCCCAUCUCACGGCAAGGCGUGUGUCGUAUAUGUUUCGUUUCGCACUUGUUGAACGAUAAUGGUUCAUGGAAGGUUGAGUUGCUUACUCAAUACUUCGUUGCUGCGGAUGUUGAAGAGAUCCUAAAUAUCAGGGCUUCUCCCAUAUUGGAUGAGGAUGUUCUUGCAUGGGGACCUGGAAAACUGGGAUUUUUUACAGAUAGAAGCGCCUAUCAUUUGGCGUUCGAUGAGCUACACCCCGGGAGCUCGGUCUCCUUCAGCGCAUUGCCAUUUGUGAGAGAGCCAUCAGAACAUGCCUACACUUCCACUAAUCAUUUUCUAAGAGAGAACCACCUACUCAUGUGUUGAGACCAAGACAUUCCAAUGCAACCACAAGAAUCUUGAUCUCUAGCCUUCCCCAAGUUGCUUUCCACUCAAAUCAUCUUUCCACCAUAGCCAAAUCUGUGACAAGAGUUGAGUGUUGGGGAGACUAUCAUUUGAAGCACAAGAGCAAGUAGUUCAUCAUCAACACACCAUCUAUUACCUUUUGGAAAGUGGUGUCUCCUAAAUUGGUUAUGUGUCACUUGGGAGCCUAUGUUAAGAUUGUGGAGUUGAACCAAGGAGUUUGUAAGGGCAAAGAGAUCGCCUACUUCGUAAUGAUCUACCCAAGUGAGGCAAGUCCUUCGUGGGCGAUGGCCAUGGUGGGAUAGACAAGGUUGCUUCUUCGUGGACCCUUCAUGGGUGGAGCCCUCCGUGGACUCGCGCAACCGUUACCUUCGUGGGUUGAAGUCUCCAUCAACGUGGAUGUACGAUAGCACCACCUAUCGGAACCACGCCAAAAAUCUCCGCGUCUUCAUUGCGUUUGCACACUCCAAUCCCAUCCCUUUACUUUCUUGCAACUAGCAUGCUUUACUAUUUUCGCUGCUUAUACUCUUGCCAUGUUUACUUGAAAUGUGUUGGGAAUGCUUAAAAUUGUGCUAAUCUACAACCUCAACUUGAAGAACUUAAAAAUUGCCGCCUUUACUUGUUGAGUGUCUAAUCACCACCCCCCCCCUAGACACCUCUUCUCGAUCCUUUCAGCUCCCCCUCCACCUACACUCGUGUUUUCUUCAGUACCUUUUGAUAAUUACAUCAGAGUUAUAAGAUUGAUCAAUCAUGCAACCAUUUGCAUGAUAAAUAAUGAUAUGUACCUUGAAGUCCAUGUAAGAAGUGCUCUUCUCUAGCCACUGCUUGUCCAUCGCAAGGAAAGUAACAUAGUAGAGCAGAUAUAAGAUAUUGCUAUUAUGUUGUUCCUCUGCAAGUUUGUUUUGAUUACUUGUAUGCAUGAUUUACCCCUAUGGUCAGAAAAAUAAGCAUUGACAUGAUUUCCGUGUAUGGUUGAAAAGGUCUUAAAAAUACUGCAGAGACAUUUGCCUCAACUGAUGUGCAUACUUUUUGGCUAGGGACUAUUUUGAAUAUUUACAUGUAAAGUAUUCAUCCUCUUUUCUUCAUACACUAUCUUUCAUGUUGUUUCUUCCUAACAUCAGUACUUCAUCAGAAGAUGAUGUGCACCGUGUAGUGUGGAAACACCAAGAAGGUCACCAUCAAGCCGAGGCUUGUAAUUGGUCCAAUUUGGCAGGUUUGCCCACCUCAUCGAAUUUCUCAAAGUACCCCAAUGACAUGACUUCAAGAUCAAAACAUUGGCCCCAACCAAACCACCCAUCGUACUAUUUAAGAAUGAUUCAUUGUUAACCGCCAGUCCUCCCAAAUGCACAAAAUCAUCAUUGCCCAAAAUUCUCAUGCAAUUGCCUUCAUUCUUCCACUGUCACAUUUUAUGCCAUCGAACCAAUCAAAAGACGAGGGAGAAUGUUUUUCUUACCAACUAGGCAAAUCUCCAAAUGUCUCUCAAUUUGUAGGAGCCUCAAUUUCUCCCAUCAUCAGAGCGGAGGGAGUAAAGGUAAGGAUGUCAGACAACACCAACGUAGCCGCCUUCUUCCUUCGGGUCUUCGGUGUGAAACACAACGAUGGUUGCGGGGGAAGGCUAGAGCCCAGAAUCAACGGUGCUGGUGGCCACACUAGUAUGCUGGAUUUGGGAAGGUGGCGAUUACAAGAAUGGUGGGGAAGUGAAGAGUACGUGAUGACAUUCAGGGAUGAAUUUAGACCCAUCAAGCGGGGAUAAUCAUUCCGGUCAUUGGAGAGGUGGCGAUACCAAUCCGAGCUGAGGGAAGCCAGCAAAUUGAGUCAUUGAAAUGACUGCAUGAGCGCCAUCCAAGAAAAAAUGACCAUGAAGUGUGCGACAACGAUUUUGAUGGUCCAAAUUGCCAUCCAUGCGGUUAUUAUGAUGAUCGACCACAUAUAGAGACUCUCCUAGAUUGCUUUAGGCCUUACAUUGCGGCACACAAAGACUCUACAUGCAAAGCAUGAAAAUUUUGUACAAAACCAUAUAUAGGAAGUACAGAUCUGCAUGUCCCCAACUUCCAGGUCUUGUCAUGACCAGUCAGUGAUUAUAUUCUUUGUCUGAGGAACAUGGUAGUAGAGGUGUAACGAAAGGAGGUGUCCACAUAUGAUGACGCGCUGACUUCUAAAGCGUCACUGUCUAGAGAAGGAAGAAGGGUUGCGGUGGGAGACAACACCAGGAGCGAGGACGACAUCGCACCUGCCUCAUACCCGGCUGGUCCGGUGGCAGCAACCCUAACUCUUGUUUCCCUCGACGGGAACUGGUGUGAUCAAGCGAGUGGAACUGGUGGGUCUAGAGCUGAAUCGCUCGCACGAGUUUUCUUGUAGGAGGUGUCGGUGGGAUUCUUGUCGUAAAUAGCUGGUAUAAUAGGGGUAUACUUUAAUUUGAAACAUUUUCUGUUGUGGGACUCUCUAAAAUCCUCAUAUUCUGGUCAAGUUUUUUUUUGGAGACUUUGGAUUGCACUAGGAUUCUAUAAAUCCUCUUAAGAUUUUGGAGAGGCAAUCGACUUAUCGCUCGGGAUUUUUCAGACCGAGAUUCUCCAUAAUCUGCUCAAAUGAACUGUGCCUGAAUAUGUUUGUGAGUGCUAGAUGCAAAGGUUCUGCACUGAGUGUAUGUGCAUGCUCCUGAAUCGAUGUAGCUUAUAUAUCCAGAUUUUUCAAAACUGCAAAUAGGCGUGCCAUAACAUCGUUUUUCUUUCUUUGUUUCUCGAUUUUCAUCAGUUAAUUUUUUGUUCAAUACAUGUCUACUUUUUUUCGUACACGAUGUUCAUUUUUUGUGUAUGCGUGAGAUAUUUUUGUUAAUACACAUUGAACAUGUUUCAAAUACCCGAUGUAUCAUUUUUUUCUAAAAUACAAGCUUUGAACAGUUUGUUGAAUACAUGGUCAACAUUUUUCAAAUACAUGGUGAACAUUUUUUAUUGGCAAUAAACAUUUUUGCAAAUAUAAUGUAUACUUUUCCAUAUACAUAAAAAAAUUAUAUACAUGUUUAACAUUUUUUAAAUUUAGAAUUAACUUUUUAAAAAUACUUUAUGUCUGUUUCUAUUUAAUGUACACUGUACAUUUUUCGUAUAGGUAAGGAACUAUUUUUAAUACAUGUUUAACAUUUAUUAAAUACAUGAUCAACAUUUUCUCCUACACAUCGUAUUUGUUUUGUAUACAUGAGAAGCAUUUUUUCUAUACACAUUUAACAUGUUUCAAAUGCUUGAUUAAAAUUUUUGAAAUACUAAUUAAAAAAUAUUUUAAAAAUGCUUGAUUUACAUUUAAAAAAUUUAGAGAAAUAAUAUUUUUUAAAUACAUGAUAAAAUUUUUGCCAGUAAUGACCCCAAUUUUCAGUAGUUGCUGCGUACAACUAAGCUUGCUUGGUGUAGUUGAGCUGCUUUAUUUAAAAAAAAAACAAGACCAGCCAGGACUAGCCCUUGGCGGCAUAUUUUGGUAGGAGAAUUCUCUAAGCGCCCCCUCGGCCGAGCCAGGGCUCGAACCAUGGCGGGCAGCCUGCGGGAGGAGCUGCUUUAUUUUUAGAUUAUAAAAUUGCUCAUCUUCUCGUGCAGUCUUAAAUUAGCAUGCAAUAGUGAUGUCAUGAUGUAAUUGCUGAAACAUACAACAACGUUGAAAGAUGACAGUGGCGACAAUCAUGCAUCCGUCUACAUGUAUGUCACGAAGCUCAAGCCGUACGGGAUCAUGGUCUUCCAACAACACCUCUUUUUACAGUGCCUGAUCCAAUCUUGUUUGGCAUCUGUUGUUCACGUGUAGGAACAUGAUACCAAGGGCACAACAGAACUGAAAAAAGGGUCAACACUGAACUGUAUUAAAAUGAUUUUGAUAUGCUCACCUCUUGCACAUAUUUGUUACCAUCCAUGCACGGUAGAUCAUGACACAUUGCAUCAGAGGUCCAUUCGUGAAUUGUAGGCGCGAUCUGUAAAUAUCAUACAAACAUGAGACAUCGAAGGGAGUAAGCCCUUUCAAACCAGUCAUUUCACUUUCAUGCUUGCGAGUGAGAGAGGGAGUAGUUGAACAGACCUCAAUGAGUGAACCAAGGCGUGUUUUAACAAUCAAAUACUUUUUUAUUUGAGCCACCCAUUCUUUCUGUAUGGGAGAACUGAAAAAUAUAUAGGCUCUUCAGUAGGCACAACAUUGUAUCAAUAACUAGAGUAACAGAACAAAUGUGUGCAAGUAAAUACAUGCACAUAUCACAUACUUCUUGUACAAUGAACGUUUCACUGACAUGUCGGACAUAAAUAUUUGAAUACUGCAUUAUGACACGCUGAAGCUGAAGUUGAAUGGAUGCAAUCUUGAAAGGUUAAUAUUGGCUCUCUCUCUUUCUUUACUUAUGUAGCGAAGAGGCUGAAGCUGAAGCUGAAUGGAUUGAAUGUUUUGAAUCAGGUGUGUACUUGACGCUCAAGCAGCUCAGCGAUGGGACUCGCAAAAUCCAGCGGGUCCGUUUCAGGUAAUGGGUCCUACUCCCAUAUUAAGUUGUUUAUUUUUAUCUAAAAAUGAGAUAUUGCAUAUAGAUUUUUGUUUCUAGACUUCACCAUUGUACAAUGGCAGAGCUAUGUGUGUCAAGAUGAGGGGGCCAAUGCCCCCCCCCCUCCCCUUCUUAAACUUACUUUUGAAAAACUAAAAUGCAAGGACUUGAAUAGGAAAUAUUAUAGCCUUUGCCCCCCCCCUUCCCACCCUCCAGCUACGGUACUGCAUGCACGUGAUCGAGUUCUAUCCAUCAAAAAAGUUAUUUUGGCUGGUUUGAUCUUUGUACAUGGGUAGUUAAAAAAUGAUUCUACUAUCAUAACUCUGGAGCAAUGAAUCUUGAGAGUUUGCUUUCUAUCGUCUUCAUAAUAUAUAAUAAAUUAUUUUUUAAACGGUUAACACUAUCAGAAAACGAAAGGUUCAUGUUACACUCACCUUGCGAUAUCUCUUUGCAGCUCAGAGCGCUUCACAGACGGUCAGGCUGGAGACUGGUGGAAGGAGAACCACGACAAGGUCCACAACCACUACAAUGUGAGGAGGAGCUCGCAGUCGGUGACACCAAGCAACGGGUGUAAGUGUGGCGUGUGCCUCUCGAUGUCCGCUCUGGUUUCCUAGGCCUCUCUUCAAUCCCUAGUUGUCCAGAGUCACUUAGUAGUUAUCUAGCGUUGGUUGUAAGUAAGACUGUAAGAGAGAGCUACUACUUGUUAAUCUAAGCUACGCAUGUAUGUGUGUUGUUUUCCCUUGCAAAAGUAUGCAACCGGGUAGCUGAUGAUUUGUAUGGAGCUGUGUUAUGUAGAAACAUGUAUCGUGUGGAUGUUCUUUUUCCUGCGUGAUUUGUUUUCAGUAUCAACGGAACAGGGUAGCUGAUGAUUUGUAUGGAGCUGUGUUAUGUAGAAACAUGUAUCGUGUGGAUGUUCUUUUUCCUGCGUGAUUUGUUUUCAGUAUCAAUGGAACAGAAAAAUACAAAAUCAACAGCAAAGAAGUAAACGGAAAUGAAAAAGGUUCAGUUGGCACAAAAAUUGCUAACAGCAAACAACAAAAUGAACUAUGAAUAAUCUUCAGAUUCAGGAGGCCUCUACCAUCUUCAGCUCUUCUGAAAUUUCUCCAUCAAACCUCAGUUUUCCUCCAUCGUUGCUCCAUGUUCUUCAUUGUCAUCAUUGUUUCCCUACCUUCCGCCUCGAUCUGGAGCUCAUUCCAGAUGACAAUGAAUCAAUGAAUGACACUGGUGAAGCAAACACAAACCUGCUAUGAAUCAAUCAACACAUCAUUCCAGCAUAAUACAAAUGCAGUGUCAUGGAGCCCAUCUGCUGGCUGGUAGGUGCUUUAUCCCUUGCAAAUACAAACAUACGUGAAUGGGUGAGUCGGGGAGUCUGAAUAUGCGUUACAAUAUGAUAUGAAUGACAUGGUUUUGAUUUCGAAUGCCCACUGAGAUGUAAGAGAAGAUACGGUGGGAACAGAGCAACAAAAACCUGCGACUACAUUGCCUUCUACUAUCCACAAAGCUGCGAGAAGUGUACCUGUACCUGCAUGAAUGCUCUAACAAUCUGGAGCUUCUCUGCCAUGCGGUUGUGUGAUUAUUUAUCGUAACUAACAGAUGCAAGAAUCCAUGACGGUCUUUCUUGCUUAUCCGCACACAUCUUUACUAUUAAACGGGAGUCUUUGGUCGUGGUACGUCGUUUCGUUUGUACAUCUCGCUUCGUCUUGGCUGUGCAACUCAACCCGCAAAACUGUGCGCCAAUCUACCUCCCCUGCCUCCAAACCCCACUGAGCAGAAACUCCUCUCUUCCACUUUCCCGUAACAACCUCUCUUACCCUCCCGUCAUCCCGUGGCUCCUCUCUUUUUCUCCCAUGGCCCCUUUCGACACUCCUGCACGAAAUCUAAUUAUGACUUGUCUCUUUCAGGUCAUUUUGGAGUUGUAGAUAAAGUUAGGAUAGCGAGUAAAAUGCAUAGAACCACCACUUUUGUGUCAUAGCUCUCAGAAAACCACCACUUUACAAAACUUUGCACCACACUGAAGAAUUGAUAGUGGCAAAAACCCCUGAACCAUUUUAUGAGCAUGUUUUGAUGUGGCCGAUUGCGAGCAAGCCGACAGCGGUGGACGACGCCCCGCUAACAGUCGUUAACGGCUCUGUCCGAAGCGAUUGGGCCGGCCCUUACUCCCUCCCUCACUCACAUCACUCGCCCUCUAUCCCUCUCCUCUCUCUCUCUCUCUCUCUCUCUCUCUCUCUUCCGGGCAUGGCGGCGGUUGUGGCUCCGGAUCCAUCGGAGAGGGAGUGGUGGCGGCAAGGUGUGGUGAAAAGACCCAAUCACCUAGUCUGGCCGGCGUGGCAGGGGGCAUCCGCGGCGAGGAGGAAGAUUGUGCGGCCACAGCAUAUUCAUCCAUCAUAGAGUAUUUCAUCGUUGCCACAUUUGGAGCAAAAUUCGUUGAGCUACUGUCAAAUGGUGUUGGUCCAGCCCUAGGUGAGCUGCCUCCCUCUCUCUAGUAGCAAAUUUUGUUGGUGGAAUUCUAGACUUCUAGAUUUAGAAACAAGAGUUUGUUGGAAUUCUAGCAAAUUUUGUUGUUAACUGAAUCUUGUUGUGAACUUAUGUUGUUAACUGAAUCUUGUUGUUUGUAACUGAACAAAGUUGUUAACUUAACCUAGUCUGUUGAAUCUUUGUUGCCACUUCACCUAGUUGUUAACUGAAUCUUUGCUCCCAAUCACUAUACCUAGGUGUCAACUGAAACUAGUUAACUGAAUCUUGCAUUUUGUGACUCGACCUAGUUGUUAACUAAAUGAUUGUUGUCUGUCACUGAACCUAGUUGUUAAAUGAAUGCAUGCAGUUAACUGAAUCAGUUCACAACAACAUUUAGUUAGUUGAAUGAAUGCAGUUAACAACUAGGUUCACCACAAGAUUUAGUUAGCUGAAUGAAUGCAAUUAACUAAAUUAGUUCACAACAAGAUUCAGUUAAUCUUUAUGAUAUGGGCAUGGCUAUUGUUGAUGUUACUGAAGUUGAGUCUGUUAAAAGAUCUAGCCAUGAAGAAAUUGCGGAAAAUAAUAUUUUGCGGGCCGUCAGAUUUCAUCGAGGAAACGAUGGUCCUAUGCGCCGUGAAAGAUCGGGCCGUCUACGCGCGCGAAUUAGCAUCUUGCUAGUCCGUGCUACAUCACUUUACUGUUGUCACUGAAUUUUCAUGUCCUAUUUGACUGAAUUUUAGGGUUUGCAAAUGGUUAAUUAUUGGGUUAGUUACUUCACUGAUUGAUAGAUGUAGUUGAAUCAUUCGUGUGGACUGAAUGAAACUGACACUAAAUGCCACUACCAAAAUUUGCAGGGUGUUGUGUAGUGGGUACAUGCGUUAAUUUUGGGUUGAGUGAUGUAGUGGACAAGUUAACCACAGAAGGAGUGAGUCAGUGUGCAUGGGUUUAAGUGAUUUGACUGAUGUGAAGUGUGAAUAGGUGUGCUCAAUUCAAUGUUCAAACUGUGUUGAUUAAAGGAAGCAAGUGUCCCUAACUAGGAGAGAACUUGCAAUAUCCAUACUUGCAAUGUCCAGACUUUAUUCAAUCAAACUAUACUAACAUUUUAUCUUUGAAUUAACACCUAGAGCCCACCUAUAGUUCCAUAGUAAGCUGGCUGAAAAAAGUUUGAGACUUAGAUUUUAUGACAUUUUAUCUUUGCAUUGACACCUACAUCACAACUAUAGUUCUUUGCAUUGACACAUGCAGCUCAACUAUAGUUCUUUGCAUUGACACCUGCGGCUCAACUAUAGUUCUUUGCAUUGAAACCUACAACACCAUAGUUUGACAUUUAUAAUGGAUAAUAUGAGCACCAAUAUUCAAAUAAUAUGAGAAAUGUCUUUCACAUAAUGUGAGCGCAAAGAUUCAGAUACUAUGAGCACAAACAUCUCCAAAAACCAUCACCACAAACAUUCAUAUAGAUAGAUAGAUAGAUAGAUAGAUAGAUAUCAUAGAUAGAUGAGUUCAGAAAGCACACAUAGUUCUAGUUCUUCAGACACAAGCCACACUACUAAGCUCAGAAACUAACUGAAUCCAUAUAUUGGUUCAGAUCUUGCUGCAGAAAUUAACUAAGACCUAACUGGUACUCGCAUCAGACUCACUCUUGUCGCAGUUUAAAAAGACGGAGUGAUCGACGAACUAGCCCCAUGAUGUUGAACUGCUUCUUCUUCCUCCUCCUCCUCCUCCUCCUCCUCCUCCUCCUCCUCCUUGUGCCUAUCUCCACCUCCAUCUGUUGAUGCUCCAUCCGGGGCGCCUCCACCUGCACCUGUUGCUCCCUUUGCGGCGGCCCCAUCUCCAUCAGACUGAUGGGCAGCACUGGCACCACACCUUGCCGAGCUCGUAGUCCACACGGAGUAGGUCACGGUUCUGGUACAUGUACCAAUGUACCCUUUGGUAUGGAUCCGGGAAAUCCCUGGCCUCCCCGUUCGCCCAGACCAGGUUCUUGAUCAGUGGGUCGUGGAUGUCUAGCAAUCCGGCGUACUCCUCAUGGUUGGCGGCCGCCCUCACUGCACGCUUGCUUCUUGAGGAUUGCAACCCUGGCGUACCAGGUGCUCACCUCGCACAUGAGGAGAGCUUGGUGAUGCCGUUGUCGAAAAUCUCCUGUAGCGCCUGGUCCCAUCUGAGGCCAAAUGUCGUGGCGUGAUGGAGGUUUUCUUUGGUUUGGGUGGGAAGGAGGAAGUUGUAUGGAUAAGAGCGAUGGAAGAGUAAAAUGCAUAGAAUCACCACUUUUGCGUCAAAGCUCUCAGAAAAUCGUAACUUUACAAAUGUGACACUUUGCACCACACCGAAAAAGUGAUAGUGGCGAAAAGCACUGAACCGUUUUCUGAGCUCGGUUUGACGUGGCCAAUCACUCGUGAGCCGACAACGGUGACGACGCGCUGCUAAUGGUCAUGAAGGACCGUUCGGUCGGCUGUCGAAAGUGUUGGAAAUAUGCCCUAGAGGCAAUAAUAAAAGGGUUAUUAUUAUAUUUCCUUAUUCAUGAUAAUUGUCUUUUAUUCAUGCUAUAACUGUAUUAUCCGGAAAUCGUAAUACACGUGUGAAUACAUAGACCAUAACAUGUCCCUAGUGAGCCUCUAGUUGACUAGCUCGUUGGUCAACAGAUAGUCAUGGUUUCCUGACUAUGGACAUUAGAUGUCAUUGACAACGGGAUCACAUCAUUAGGAGAAUGAUGUGAUGGACAAGACCCAAUCCUAAGCAUAGCACAAGAUCGUGUAGUUCGUUUUGUUGUAGCUUUUCCAAUGUCAAGUAUCUCUUCCUUAGACCAUGAGAUCGUGUAACUCCCGGAUACCGUAGGAGUGCUUUGGGUGUACCAAACGUCACAACGUAACUGGGUGACUAUAAAGGUGCAUUACAGGUAUCUCCAAAAGUGUCUGUUGGGUUGACAUGGAUCGAGACUGGGAUUUGUCACUCCGUAUGACGGAGAGGUAUCACUGGGCCCACUCGGUAGUGCAUCAUCAUAAUGAGCUCAAAGUGACCAAGUGUUUGGUCACGGGAUCAUGCAUUAUGGUACGAGUAAAGUGACUUGCCGGUAACGAGACUAAUGGGGUAUUGGGAUACGACGAUCGAGUCUCAGGCAAGUAACAUACCGUCUGACAAAGGGAAUUGCAUAUGGGGUUGAUUGAAUCCUCGACAUCGUGGUUCAUCCGAUGACAUCAUUGAGGAGCAUGUGGGAGCCAACAUGGGUAUCCAGAUCCCGCUGUUGGUUAUUGACCGGAGAGCUGUCUCGGUCAUGUCUGCAUGUCUCCCGAACCCGUAGGGUCUACACACUUAAGGUUCGGCGACGCUAGGGUUAUUAGGAAGACUUGUAUGUGAUUAGCGAAAGUUGUUCGGAGUCCCGGAUGGGAUCCCAGACGUCACGAGGAGUUCCGGAAUGGUCCGGAGGUAAAGAUUUAUAUAUGGGAAGUUGUCAUACGGACACCGGAAGGUUUCGGGGGCAUAUCGGUAUUGUACCGGGGCCACCGGAAGGGUUCCGGGGGUCCACCGGGAGGGGCCCCCCCCUUGGGCCCAUGCGCCUAGGGUUGGGGGGAACCCUAGAGGGGGCGUCCCCCUUGCUUGGGGGGCAAGUCCCCCCUCCCUGGCCGCCGCCCCCCCUCUAGAUCCCAUCUAGAGGGGCCGGCCCCCCUUGCCCCUUCCCCUAUAAAUAGAGGGGUGAGGGGAGGGCUGAACACCCAAGCCAAGAUCAGCCCCUCCCCUCCCCAACACCUCUCCUCCUCCGUUGUGUGCUUGGCGAAGCCCUGUCAGAGUACUGCCUCUCCACCAUCAUCACGCCGUCGUGCUGCUGCUGGAGCCUUCUUCCUCAACCUCUCCUUCCCCCUUGCUGGAUCAAGAAGGAGGAGACGUCGCCUGUACCGUACGUGUGUUGAACGCGGAGGUGCUGUCCGUUCAGCACUUGGUCAUCGGUUAUCUGAAUCACGGCGAGUACGACUCCAUCAUCACCGUUCCCUCGAACGCUUCCGUACGCGAUCUACAAGUGGUAUGUAGAUGCAAACUCACUCCCUUGACUCGUUGCUUAGAUGAACUCAUAGAUGGAUCUUGGUGAAACCGUAGGAAAAAUUUUAAUUUUCUGCAACGUUCCCCAACAGAAAGCGGCUCGAUCAGAACAAUCUCUCUCUCUCUCUCUCUCUAUAUAUAUAUAUAUAUAUAUAUAUAUAUAUAUAUAUAUAUAUCUUGCUUGGGGGACUUGGGGCGCCAGUUGAGUAGUUUCUUCAGAGGAGCGCUGGAGAAUUCGGGAAGUCCGCGCCGAACUAGGUCCGGAAGGGGAACAUCCUCGAUGUAAAACCAUUCCAGAGACCAUUCUUCGGAUCCCUUUUUGGAGUCCCAACAGGGUAGCCUGAUCCGGCUAUGCGCCAUACUUCGGCGCCACCCACUUCGAAUAUAGACCCUCCGCCUUGAUGGCGGGGGCGAGGCAAAAGAACUUUCUCCAUAGUUCGAAAUGAGCCUCACAACCUAAAAACAAUUUGCAGAGAGCGAUAAAACCAGAGAUGUGCAGAAUAGAAGCUGGCGUGAGAUUGUGCACCUGGAUCCCAUAGAACUCCAGUAGACCCAUGAGAAAGGGAUGGAUUGGGAAUCCUACGCCCCUCAGAAGGAACGAAAUGAAGCACACCCUCUCCUCUUGGCUGGGGUUGGGGAAGUUCUCUGCUAACACAUCAUCGCCCAUAGAAGCUAAUCCCGCCCGCAUGGAGACUAGAUCCGCGGGGGGAGAUAUCCUUGCAUCUGAAGUCAAUUCAGCUGAAGGUGGGAUACUGAACAACUUCGCCAAUCCCCCUCUUGAGGGACAUGGGGGCACGAGGAGGAGCCAGGGGCGCUUGCCAUGGUUUGAAGUUUUUUCGUGGUUUGCUUCGGUGCUCUUUGGGCGAUGUGAGGUGGCGUUUGAGGAUCUAACCUCAUUAUAUAGAUGCCACCCACGCCUAGAAAAGUGUUAAAUUGCAAAAAAGUUACGGACCGUCCGCAUUCGUUCAAUGCAUGGAAAUCGAGGCGACGACAGGAAGGAAUCAUAAAGACUGGACGCAAAAGCCGAUACUGGAUUGUCAUCAAUCCGGAGUAUGGUGAAGAAUCCGCCUUGCAAAGUCGAAGACAUGAAUCUGCAUACUACAUCGUCAUUGAAGGCAAGUUCGGGGGCUACUGAGGGAGUCCUGGUUUCGGAGGUCCUCAGGUGUCCGGCCCAAGGAUGGGGCCGGGCUGAAUGGGUCGUGAUAAAGCUGAAGGCCAUCCUCCGUGUUCGGAUAGGAUUCCUAUGUGCGUGGACGGCAGGAUUAGAGUCCGGAUGUAUUGUUUCCUUCCCUUAUGAAUCGACUUUGUACAAACCCUAGGCCCCUCCGGUGUGCAUAUAAACCGGAGGGUUUAGUCCAUAGAUGUUAUCAUCAUAAUCAUAGGCUAGACAAGUUAGGGUUUAGCCAUUAUGAUCUCGAGGUAGAUCAACUCUUGUAGCCUCUAUACUCAUCGAAUACAAUCCAGCAGGACGUAGGGUUUUACCUCCUUUAAGAGGGCCCGAACCUAGGUAAAACAUAGUGUCCCUUCGUCCAUUGUUACCAUCUAUCCUUAGACGCACAGCUUGGGCCCCCCCUACCCGAGAUCUGCCGGUUUUGACACUGACAACAAAUCUUAGAACAUAUUAAGACAAAGUCAACCUACCAUACAGAUUGUGAGAACAGUGCAUCUCCAAUGGAGUGAGUUAAUAGGGUUACUCUCCUUAGUUAAACAGUAGCUUGUUUUCCUAGUUCCUGUUUCACGGAAUCUCUGAUCAUAUAGGUUGGUUUACCAUCAUGGCAAAUCAUGUGGGUCUCAUACCCAUCUCCCUCAAUGCAUUUUCUAUCACGGUUCAUGGUAGACCUUUAGUGAAGGGAGGUGGCAGAUUCUCGGCCGAUUGGAUGUAAUUCAACUCUAUUACUCUGGAGUUUCUUGAAUAUCUGGCAGAUUUCAUUCUUCUUAUAUGUUUUGUGGAUGCAUGUUGUCCUUUGAACUCUUUGCCUUGACAUUUACUGCCUUAUUGUCAAAGCUCAUAAGGCUUAGCCGGAAUUGGGUUUUCAACCACUGUCAAGUCCACCAAAAGCUCUCGAAGCCAUUUUGCUUUUGUUCAUGAUUAAUCUAGUGUUGCGAGUUCUGCUUACAUUGUCGACUUUGUUAAGAUAGUCUGUUUGCAAGACUUUCAGGAAACAACGCCACCACCAAGGAUAAACAUAUAUCCACUUGUGGGUUUCAUCUCCUCAACAUCAUAGAUCCAAUUUGCCUCACUAUACUCUUGAAGUACCGUCGUGUAUCCGGUAUAGUGAAGUUUGUGGCUCACAGUGCUGGAAUUUUUGUCUAUUUGGGCCUAGCCCAAUAGCAGUUUCAGAAAUUCCUAAUAAAUCCUAGAGGCCCACGCAGCCCAUUCGUGCAAGGCAAGAGGUGGAACUAAAGUUUAGUCCCACCUUGCUAGUUUAGAGGGAGUUGGACCUCUUUAUAAGGGAGGCUCCUUCCCCACUUGUAUGAGCAUGAGAACAAGAGGGACAUCCACGCGCGCUCCUCCUCCGCCGCCCGCCUCGCCACACCACGCCUCGUUACGACGCGCCACGGUUUGCGGGAAUGAGCCGAGCCGAUAUCUAAAUUUUUGCCACGCACUACGGGUAUACGAAAGGUCACUCGGAAGCUGAAACAUUUUUUCUGUAGUGGACACUGAAUCCGAACGGCGCGCCCCUUCGGCUGUUGGCUGUUUGUUUUGUCUCCCGCAUUCUCUUCAGCUCCCGACGCAGCCUCUCACCUCCUUCUCUUGCGCCUAUAAAAGGGAGGUCGCUCCUCUCAGAGAGACGCGCCAUAACUACUCCUUCCCUCGCCAUCGGUUCCAUCUCUGAGCUGCUGAUGUCUUCCUCAUCCCGGCUUGCGGCGUGCACCACACGUCGGGACAGUAGGCCUCCGAGACCGCACCUUUUGAGUCCUGUACGGGAGAAGGGUGAUAAGGUUUUUGGGGAGCGCUCAGCGCGACUACUGGCUGCUUCAUCACGGACGAUCCGGUCGCCGACGACUACUUCCCCGAUGACGACUUCUUCCCCGACGUCCACGACCUCCUCAACGACAUGCAGGCGAGGGCACCGACCCCAAGUCCAGCGCUUCUGUUGCUUCUGUACCGUACGUGUUCUUCUCCUCUCUGUUAGAAGUCCUGCUACAGUUCUUGGCUCUAGUUUCUGCCCUACGUAUGUUAGGUUCUAUGUCGUAUCUAGUGUCUGUUCUAGAUGUGUUUACCUCAAGUUCAUAUAUGCAUACGAUGUUUACCUUCUCUCUGUCAGAUUGCAUGACUUGCUUUAAAUUUGCUAUUUUAGUCAUGCUUUAUCUAGUAUUUCUGUUAGCAAAAUUAUUUGGUAAAUUGCUCAAAUUUCCAAAAUUCCAAAAACUUUAUUAUAGGCAAUUUACCUCGAAUGGUUUUGCUGCUUCCAUGAGACCUCCUAUGUUUGAGGGUAUCCACUAUAAGAGGUGGCGCGUGAGAGCAGUCUUAUGGUUUGAAACCAUGAGUUUCUAUGACGCCACUCUUGGUAGACCUGAAGGAGAACUUGAUGCUCAAUAGGCACAAGCUUUUCAGAAAAUUGAUACUUUGUUUAAGGCUGCUCUCUUGAGUGUUCUCAGUGAGAACAUCGUUGAUGCUUAUGCGUCAACUGAUAAUGGAAAAGAUAUGUGAGAUGCACUCGAGGCCAAGUUUGGGGUCUCGGAUGCUGGCACUGAGUUAUACAUCAUGGAGCAAUUCUAUGACUACAGGAUGACUGAAGAGCGCUCCGUGGUUGAGAAAGCUCAUGAGAUACAGUCAUUUGCUAAAGAACUUGAGCAGUUCAAUUGUAUCCUACCGGACAAGUUUGUUGUCGGGGGUAUCAUCACUAAGCUUCCUCCUUCGUGGAGGAACUUUGCUACCUUACUGAAGCAUAAGAGACAGGAGUUUACCGUCCCGGAUCUCAUUGGUACUCUUGAUGUGGAAGAAAAGGCGAGAGCAAAGGACACACGUGCUCGAGGUAUUGAGGGAGGAUCUAGUGCCAAUCUGGUACAGAAGAAAAACUUCCAGUCCCACAAGUUCAAGAACAAGGGCAAGCUUGAUGGUAAAGCAAAGUUUGAUGGGAAGAGCAAGGUUGUACAACACAUGAACUUCAAGAAGAAGAGUGACAAGAAGAAAGGUGCUUGUCAUGUGUGUGGAGAUCCUGAUCAUUGGGCUCCUAGUUGUCCUAAUCGCUAUGACAAGCGUCAUCCUGGGAAAGGCGGCAAGACCGCUAAUGUUGUCAUCGGAGACAUUGACAUGAAGGAUGUUGGGUAUGGUAUAUUUCCCACUAUUCUUUCACUAUGUCAUUCUCCUGAUUGGUUGAUUGACACGGGUGCUAAUGUGCAUGUAUGCGGUGAUAUUUCCAUGUUUUCGUCUUAUCAGACCGCAGGGACUUCAACCGUGCUAAUGGGCAACGGUUCAAGUGCUUCUGUUCAUGGUGUUGGCACGGUCGAUCUAAAGUUUACUUCGGAGAAGAUCGUGCGGCUGAAGAACGUGCAUUAUGUCCCCUCCGUCAAUAAAAAUCUUGUUAGCGGAUCUCUUCUGUGUAGAGAUGGCUACAAGCUUGUCUUUGAGUCAAAUAAAUUUGUAAUAUCCAAGUAUGAAAUCUUUGUUGGUAAAGGCUAUGAGUCAGGAGGCCUGUUUCGUUUAUCCUUAUCAGACGUUUGCAAUAAAGUUGUUAAUCAUAUUUGCAACAAUAGUGAAUCAAAUGUGUGGCAUUUACGUCUUUGUCAUGUUAACUUUGGUUGCAUGUCGCGAUUAGCGAAGUUGAACUUAAUCCCUAGUUUCACCACUGUCAAGGGAUCUAAGUGUCCAGUGUGUGUGCAAGCUAAGCAACCUCGUAAGUCUCACGUGACUGCGGAGACGAGAAAUCUUGCACCACUAGAACUUAUACAUUUAGAUCUAUGUGAAAUGAAUGGUGUUUUGACAAAAGGUGGAAAGAAAUAUUUCAUGACGUUAAUUGACGACUCCACUAGAUACUGCCAUGUGUAUCUUCUGAAAUCUAAGGAUGAGGCUUUGAACUUUUUCAAGAUCUAUAAAGCUGAAGUGGAAAACCAAUUUGAUCGAAAAAUCAAGAAGCUUAGGUCCGACCGUGGUGGAGAGUAUUUUUCUGAUGAAUUUGAUGCUUUUUAUGCGGAACAUGGUAUAAUCCAUGAGGACGCCUCCCUACUCACCUCAGUCAAAUGGGGUGGCCGAAAGAAAGAACCAUACUCUAACUGAUUUGGUUAACGCCAUGUUAGACACAUCGGGUCUCUCCAAGGCAUGGUGGGGGAGGCGAUAUCGACUGCUUGUCAUGUCCUAAACCGAGUUCCCACAAAGAACAAAGAGAUAACUCCAUUCAAGGAAUGGGAGAAGAAAAGGUUAAAGCUCUCUUAUCUACGAACCUGAGGUUGUUUGGCGAAAGUCAAUGUGCCAAUUCCAAAGAAGCGAAAGCUAGGACCAAAAACUGUGGAUUGUGUUUUCCUGGGAUAUGCUUUUCACAGCAUUGGCUAUAGAUUCUUGGUUGUAAAAUCUGAGGUACCUGACAUGCAUGUCGGUACGAUCAUGGAGUCGAAUGAUGCGACUUUCUUUGAAGAUAUCUUUCCCAUGAAGGAUAUGGCUACCUCAUCUAAUCAGGAGAUGCCUAGUUCAUCGAAUUAGGAACCAGUUACAAUUACUGAACCCGCCAUUUCGAUGGAACAGUUUGAAAGUCCUGUGGAGGAGAACAAUGAAGUUCCUACUAGGAGCAAGAGACAGAGGACAGCAAAGUCCUUUGGUGAUGAUUUUCUUGUGUAUCUCAUAGAUGACACUCCCCGUUCUAUUUCGGAGGCCUAUGCAUCGGAAGAUGCUGACUACUGGAAGGAAGCGGUUCGUAGCGAGAUGGAUUCCAUCUUGGCGAAUGAAACUUGGGAGAUAACUGAUCGUCCUUAUGGGUGCAAACCUAUAGGAUGCAAAUGGGUAUUCAAGAAGAAGCUUAGGCCUGAUGGUACUAUUGAAAAGUACAAGGCUCGGCUCGUGGCAAAGGGUUAUACCCAAAAGGAAGGUGAAGACUUCUUUGAUACUUACUCACCUGUGGCUCGACUGACCACUAUUCGAGUUCUACUUUCACUAGCUGCCUCACAUGGUCUUCUCAUUCAUCAAAUGGAUGUUAAGACUGCUUUUCUAAAUGGAGAGUUGGAUGAGGAAAUUUAUAUGGAACAACCAGAUGGGUUUGUAAUAGAUGGUCAGGAAGGGAAAGUGUGCAAGUUGCUGAAGUCAUUGUAUGGACUCAAUCAAGCACCCAAACAGUGGCAUGAGAAGUUCGAAAGAACUUUAACAGCCGCAGGAUUUGUUGUGAACGAAGCUGAAAAAUGUGUGUAUUAUCGCCAUGGUGGGGGCGAGAGAGUUAUGCUUUGCUUGUAUGUUGAUGACAUACUGAUUUUCAGAACAAAUCUGAAUGUUAUUAAGGAGGUCAAGGAUUUCCUAUCUCGCUGUUUUGAGAUGAAGGAUUUAGGAGUGGCUGAUGUCAUUCUGAACAUCAAGUUGUUGAGAGAUGAUGAUGGUGGGAUUACAUUGCUUCAAUCUCACUAUGUGGAAAAGAUCUUGAGUCGCUUUGGCUACAGUGACUGCAAGCCCUCUCCAACACCAUAUGAUGCUAGUGUGUUGCUUCGAAAGAAUCAAAGAAUUGCUAGAGACCAAUUGAAAUAUUCACAGAUUAUUGGCUCGCUUAUGUACUUAGCCAGUGCUACGUGACCUGACAUCUCUUUUGCUGUUAGCAAACUGAGCCGGUUUGUCUCAAAACCAGGAGAUGUGCAUUGGAAAGCUCUAGAGAGAGUUUUGCGUUAUUUGAAAGGCACUGCAAAUUAUGGAAUUCACUACACUGUACAUCCAAAGGUGCUUGAAGGGUAUAGUGACUCAAACUGGAUCUCAGAUGCUGAUGAGAUAAAGGCCACGAGCGGUUAUGUAUUCACUCAUGGAGGUGGCACUGUUUCUUGGAAGUCUUGCAAGCAGACCAUCUUAACGAGGUCAACAAUGGAAGCAGAACUCACAGCACUAGAUACAGCUACGGUCGAAGCAGAUUGGCUUCGUCGGCUCUUGAAUGACUUACCGGUAGUUGAGAAACCUGUACCGGGUAUUCUUAUGAACUGUGACAAUCAAACUGUGAUCACUAAAGUGAGCAGCUCAAAGGAUAACAUGAAGUCAUCAAGACACGUUCAGAGAAGGUUAAAGUCUGUCAGAAAAAUGAAAAACUCCGGAGUUAUUGCAUUGGAUUAUAUCCAAACAUCUAAAAAUCUGGCAGAUCCUUUUACUAAGGGUCUAUCACGUAAUGUGAUAGAUAAUGCAUCGAGGGAGAUGGGAAUGAGACCCACAAUAUGAGUUGUUCACAGUGGUAACCUAUUCUUUGUGAUCGGAGAUCCCGUGAAUUAGAUGUGGAAGACAAGUUGUUGGUCAACUGAGAGGAGAGUAUCCUUACUGUUAAAAUACCACUCCAUGAAGAUGCAAUACUAUCCUAAUUUGCAUGGAAGGUUGAUAUAUAUCUUAAUGUGUUCUAAGUGGCUUUUUGAAGCAGAGAUGUUAUCCUGCAGAACAUCUUUCGAAGAACGCACCUGUAUGAGUCUGAUUGUUAAACGUCGCAAUCUAUGAGAGUAGGGUUCUCUCUAGUAAACUCAUGAAAGGUCACGGAGUAUGACGCAUAAGCUCCACCCACGGGGAAGACCCACGGUAGCCACGUAUCGGUCAAGGCUUUAUGUGAAGCUAGAUUCGCAGAAAACUUGCAGUUCAAGGCCCACUCCACUGUUCAAGUUUCUUACUAGUGUAGCAUAGGGUUCUAGGUGGAAGUUCAACUUAACAGUCUCCACUACAAUACCGGUAUAUAAAACAGUGUUUUAGAACCAAAGGCGAAUUUUGUGUGCCUCUGGGAUCUGGUGGGGGAUUGCUGGAAUUUUUGUCUAUUUGGGCCUAGCCCAAUAGCAGUUUCAGAAAUUCCUAAUAAAUCCUAGAGGCCCACGCAGCCCAUUCGUGCAAGGCAAGAGGUGGAACUAAAGUUUAGUCCCACCUUGCUAGUUUAGAGGGAGUUGGACCUCUUUAUAAGGGAGGCUCCUUCCCCACUUGUAUGAGCAUGAGAACAAGAGGGACAUCCACGCGCUCCUCCUCCUCCGCCGCCCGCCUCGCCAUGCCACGCCUCGUCACGAUGCGCCGCGCCGCGGGAAUGAGCCGAGCCGAUGUUUAAAUUUUUGCCACGCACUACGGGUAUACUAAAGGUCACUCGGAAGCUGAAACAUUUUUUCUGUAGUGGACACUGAAUCCGAACGACGCGCCCCUUUGGCUGCUGCCUGUUCGUUUCGUCUCCCGCAUUCCCUUCAUCUCCCGGCGCAGCCUCUCGCCUCCUUCUUUUGCGCCUAUAAAAGGGAGGUCGUUCCUCUCAGAGAGACGCACCAAAACUACUCCUUCCCUCGCCAUCGGUUCCAUCUCUGAGCUGCUGCUGUCUUCCUCAUCCCGGCUUGCGGCGUGCACCGCACGUCGGGACAGUAGGCCUCCGAGACCGCACCUUUUGAGUUCUGUACGGGAGAAGGGUGAUAAGGUUUUUGGGGAGCGCUCAGCGCGACUACUGGCUGCUUCAUCACGGAUGAUCCGGUCGCCGACGACUACUUCCCCGACGACGACUUCUUCCCCGACGUCCACGACCUCCUCAACGACAUGGCAGGCGAGGACACUGACCCCAAGUCCAGCGCUUCUGCUGCUGUUGUGCCGUACGUGUUCUUCUCCUUUCUGUUAGAAGUCCUGCUACAGUUCUUGGCUCUAGUUUCUGCCCUACGUAUGUUAGGUUCUAUGUCGUAUCGAGUGUCUGUUCUAGAUGUGUUUACCUCAAGUUCAUAUAUGCAUACGAUGUUUACCUUCUCUCUGUCAGAUUGCAUGACUUGCUUUAUAUUUGCUAUUUUAGUCAUGCUUUAUCUAGUAUUUCCGUUAGCAAAAUUAUUUGGUAAAUUGCUCAAAUUUCCAACACACAGUACCUUGCAAAUAGUGCAUAACUCUUUCAACAUCAUGACAAUGCACAUCUCCUAGAUUGGAAACAAACCAGCCCAGUUGGCUCACAAGAAACGUGAUGUCAGGGCUCGUAGCGCAAGCUAGGUACAUAAGUGAACCAAUCACUUGGGUGUAUCUCGUUUGAUCUAUAGUGGUGCCUUCGGAUUUUCGAAUCCGCGCGUUGGAGUGGAUCAUAUGGUGUUGGAGAAGUUUUGCGAUCCGAAUACCCAAAGCGAGUCAGAAUACUACUCCACCAAGUGAUCUGCCUUUGGACGAGCUUCGCCAAGUGCUCCGCCACUCAAUGCAAUGCACCUUCGAGGCCACCGCGGAGAUCAGGACUGCGCUCGCUCGCCCAGUCACCACCACAUUCCUAAUUACUUACUAGGGCUUGCCGCUAUCUAUCUAUGCCGAAGGUGCCAACCUCGGUGUUGUUGACGUUGGUGGAGAAGAUGCUCAAGAAACUUGCGCGCUCCUCCUGGCACGUGCUCUCGGCCAUGCCCGUCCACAUCCUGCUGGCCAUGUAUAUCAAUCCACCAUUCUUCGGUGAGUCACUCGCGUCAUUCACGAUUUCCUCUGGCAUGGUCGCAAGUGUUAGAAUUAAUUAACCAUGUGUUAAUUAUGGGAUUAAUCCCUGCUUGUACUAACCGCAUGCCGUUGUAAAACUACCGUGUCGGUUCCCGCCGAACAGGCACCUCCUCUGAACAGACACCUUUUCUAGUGGUGUCCUUUCCCUUGUAUAAAUAGCAGAUGGCAUCUAAUAAAGAAGGGACUUGAUUCAUUCAAACACGUUAUCAGUACGCUCUGGCGAGCAGUGGCGGAGCCAAGGGGGGGCGAGCAGGGGCCNNNNNNNNNNNNNNNNNNNNNNNNNNNNNNNNNNNNNNNNNNNNNNNNNNNNNNNNNNNNNNNNNNNNNNNNNNNNNNNNNNNNNNNNNNNNNNNNNNNNNNNNNNNNNNNNNNNNNNNNNNNNNNNNNNNNNNNNNNNNNNNNNNNNNNNNNNNNNNNNNNNNNNNNNNNNNNNNNNNNNNNNNNNNNNNNNNNNNNNNNNNNNNNNNNNNNNNNNNNNNNNNNNNNNNNNNNNNNNNNNNNNNNNNNNNNNNNNNNNNNNNNNNNNNNNNNNNNNNNNNNNNNNNNNNNNNNNNNNNNNNNNNNNNNNNNNNNNNNNNNNNNNNNNNNNNNNNNNNNNNNNNNNNAGUCUUUACCGUCAAAAAUGCCCUCCUAAUCUUCCGUGAGUAUAUGUAGCUUAUCUCAAACAAAUCUCCCAUGAUUAGCGCUGCCGUCCUGCUGCCCUUGCCUUGAGGUUGCGAUUUCUCUCGACCAGAUUCAGAUUACAAACGUUGGCACCUCCUCCGCUCCUUGUUUAUAAAAUCUGGGUACUCGUAAGUCCUCCGAAGAUUGCUGCCGAUUGCGCUUGGUGGAUUAAUCACACAUGUCCGGUGAAAUUGUCGCAGAUCAAAUUCUCAAGGUAUAUUCCCUGCAAAAAACUUUUCAAUGACACUUGGGUAAAUCUGCUUUGUCUGAUGUGGUAAUGCAUGUGAUCAUAUGACAAAUACGAAUUUAAUUAAUCUUUUGCCUUAUAUUAGCUAUAAUUUCUAUUGGAAAAAUGAAGUGAAGAAAAUAAUUUGUUUCCUUUCUAAGGACUUGCUUCAAUUCUUAAACCCUACACAUGGUGUAGGUGUACUAGAGCUAGAUAUACAUUGGUAAUUGUUGAACAUGCGUACAUCACUGUGUUUAUAACUUUAUAUAUAUGCUAGACGAAAUAUAAACAUGUAGCAUUGUGGCGAGCGUUGUCUCUUUGCCCCCCCCUAUGCUCAAAUCCUGGCUCCGCCCCUGCUGGCGAGAGCAGAAGGCCACGAGAGAUUAGGCCAUCCCGGCGGUUACGGAUGUUACUUUCGUCGCGGAUGGCAGGCGGUGCAACCGGAAGCGGAAGUAGGAACCGGAAUCGUUCCAUUGAGCGCUCGCGGCGGGACAUCUUCCGGUGACGAGGCGAUGGAGCCCAGGUGCCGGCGCUCGACCGCAGCGUCCUCCAGCGCAUGGUUUGGUCUCACCCUCUCCUUCCCCUUCUCCCAGACGCCGUCCACAGUGGCCGCAUAAGCGGCCCUCUCCGGCACGGCCGACCGCGGCGCAUCUGCGACCCCGGCCUGCUACGCAAGGCACGGCCGACCGCGGCGCAUCUGCGACCCCGGCCUGCUACGCAAGGCACGGCGGCGUGGCAAGCGCCUCCCGACCGGAGACUCGGCGCCUAUAGCGGGGAACAACCCGGCCUCGACCUCCCGGCGCGCGGAGCCCACAGCGGAUCAUCGACAGCGGCGCACCCGCAUCUUCUACGUCCUGGCGACGACGAAGACGGGCGAUGGAGGCGAGGCAGCCAGCACCCGACGCGGCUCCCGGCAUCCACGUGGAGUUCCUGCAGCCACGGUCCUGCCCGACGGUCGGCACAGGCCUCCUCCGGCGCGGCGAGGCCCAGCGUGCGAACGGUGUCGUUUCCACCGCCAGACUACGGCGGUGGCGACCCUCGACCUGCGCUCCUUCCUCCGGCCGGCUGGUGCGCGGCUACGCGGAGCGGGACGUCGAGUACGGCCUCGGCCCGGUCCUCCUCGCGUAGCCAUGGCCCUGCCCCUCGGCCUAGGUUGACGCGGACCUCCAUGGCACGCGGCGCGGUGCCCGUGGCGUCGUUCAGCGUACGCCGACGAACUCCGGCGCGAGGCAACUCAGCACCGCGCGCGAGGCGAAGGCAUCCAUGGCUGGAUCUCCCGGAAGCGGCGGCGAUGGCUCCUGUGUAAAGCUAACCGACACAGGACAACGAUGGGAACCUUAUCUCUUUGAAGGUUUUUUCAUUGUAGCCCUCUGGUUAUGCACUAACCCCGCACAAGUGGCUAUGUAUUUGCAUUGACCAUCAAAUCAGGCCACAGGCUGUGCAUUGGAGACCGUCAGAUAUCUCCAUAUCACAUUUACAAUAUAUGUAAAUGAUGGUUUCAGAUAUACUCUGUGAAAAUGGGACAUGUUCAUCGUAUUUGCUCUCUAUCAAUUCCUUUCAAAUAAUUCAGAUCUUAAGUUGAUGUAAUAUAUUUCCACGUUUACCACGUGUUGAGAUUAAUUACGUUCAUUUGCAAUUGAGAUUUCUCAUCUCUUGCAAAGAUAAAUUCAGUACCUCUGCAGUACUGUUUCUCCG
RNAcentral lists this long non-coding RNA (45146 nucleotides) under Triticum aestivum (bread wheat). Its description in RNAcentral is "long non-coding RNA (TAES_LNC010658)". The record is from RNAcentral. Lineage: Eukaryota; Viridiplantae; Streptophyta; Magnoliopsida; Poales; Poaceae.